Molecule: long non-coding RNA, 60172 nt
Filed under: Ananas comosus (pineapple)
Lineage: Eukaryota; Viridiplantae; Streptophyta; Magnoliopsida; Poales; Bromeliaceae
Description: long non-coding RNA (ACOM_LNC024758)
Source: RNAcentral
AAAAUAUGAUCUAAAGUAGGGCUACUAUACUAUUUAUUAGUUCGAAGACCUUCAUUCUCAUAAGUUAUUUUCAAUAAUAAAACUUCUGAAUCGACGAUAUAUACCGUUAAACAUGACUGGGAGCAUUUAAAAUUUUUAGAAAAUAAAUUUCAUAAUUUUUUAAAAUUAUAAUAAAGUCUAUGAAUGAUCAAAACCGAACGACCUCAUAAAAAUAGAAGACCAAAUUUUUUAAUUUAGACCAAAUUUUUUAAUUUAAGAUCAAAAUUAUUAAUCUUUAACUAGAUUGUGGAUAAAAUUUUCUAUAAAAAAUUCAACCGAUUUUGAUUCUUUUACACUGUUAAACUAGCAAGUAUUCAAUACCGGCCGUUAAAAUAUCAAUUUUGAGAUCUUUCGAUCGAAAGGUAAAUAAUGACGAAAAAUUAUGAAAUUUGGUUUUUAAAAGUUUCAAAUGUUUUAAAUCAUGUUUAAUGGUAUAGAUCGUCGAUUUGAAAACGCUCAAUCGAAAACAACUUACGAGUACGAAAACGAUCUUGAUCAUAAGAUAACAAUACAAGUAUUUCCAGACAAGUGAGUUCCUUUUCGGUAUUCGCCGUACCGGGCUAUCCGAACAGCAUCUAUAUUUUAUCAGAGAGCAGCUGCUUGAAACCGCCCGGGCACACGGAGCAGCGGCAGCAGGACGCCGCCAGGGUCCCCCAGCUGUCCACAGGCAGCCAUCUGAUCGUCCCCACGGCUGAGCCGCAGGAAGACGACCACCCCAGCUUCGGCGAGAAUGUUCCGAAACUCUAUCAUCUUCUCUUCAGGUGUUGGCCUGAAAUGAGAACCAUCAUGGGGAUUGAAGGAGAUGAGGUUGAUCUUGCAAGGGAUUCCCCGGACGAGUUCUAUGAGCCUCUUCGCGUCGUCGAUGCUGGAGUUUCAGAUCAAUAGAUGAAAAGGAUUAUAAUCUCUAUGAAGAUUUGGCAUUAAAAAUAUGAAACUUAGCAGUAUCUUUAUCCAAUUAUAUGACAAUUGAGAGGGUGGUAGAUAAUUCCAACAAAUGUUUUCGAGGGCUACAUUGAUGAUAUCUCUAUAGGACCGGUACUGCGAUAACCCGUGUUCUUGGUUUUGUCUCAACAGUGCUUAAUUUCUUUCUGAAUAAUUAACAAAAAGUAACUAACAAGGAUUAAAAACCAAACCUGUCAUUUACUCCCGCAAGCAUGACAUAUUCGAAUAGUACUUUAUACUUGUUCUUCAGGCGUAAUUCCUCCCGUAAGGUCUCGAGAAGCAGGCUAAGAUUAUAUUUGCGGUUAAUUGGCAUAAUCCAGUUCCUUACCUGCAUUACUAUAGCAUUUAGUUUGCAAAUAAACUGAAGGAGAGUUGCUUUGAGAAAAGAAUUCACCCCUCGACAAAAAGUUACGGUCACCUCAUCUGUCGUGGCAUUGAGACUCACAGCUAACGCACAGUUAGAUUCACGAAGGAAGCGCUUCAACUGAGGGACAAGCCCGCUGGUUGAGACGGUCACUUUUCGAGGGCUAAAAUGAAGCCCUUGCUCAUCAACCAUUAUGGCCGCCGCCUUGAUUACAUUUUCUAUGUUAUGCAAUGGUUCACCCAUACCCUGCGCAAAGUAAGAGAGUGUUUUUAGUCAGAACACAUGAUAAGCACCAUUUUGAACUAAUUCUAGAAUCCCGGAAACAAUGGUAAGCAAUUUCCUGAUUAAAAAAAAAAAAGAAGAGAGAGCCAUAUUGUCACAUGUUUCUUCAAUUAAUUCAUUAAUAGAAAUAUGAUGUUACAUCAACGGAGCAACUGACUAUCAGAAAUAGUCCAAUUUCUUGAGUAAAUGAAGGCUAAUAUCACGUUCGACAGGAAACUAACAGAAAAAAAAUAAUAAUAUCAAGCAAAUGCUAUGCUGGAAAAAAAUAUAUGUAAAUAUAUAUAUAUAUAUAUAGAGUCCGGCUACUAUGCUAUCGGUAGCACGGAGCGCUCCGUGCUACCAAGUUGUUUUCGAUGAUGCGGCUUCCAAAUCGACGAUCGGCUCCGUUAGACUUUAUCUACACUAUUGAAAGUAUUUGGAAACUAAAUUUCAGAUUUUUUCGACAUCAUUUGAUUAGUGAUCAAAAGAUCUCAAAAUUGACAAUUUUAAUGGCCGAUGUGGUGUGUUUGUGAGUUUAACGGCGUAAAACAAUCCAAAUGCGAUGAAAAUUUUAUAGAAAAUUCUUUUCACUAUUUAGAGUAAGAUCAGUAUAUCUGAUCUUGAAUUUAAAUCUUUUAUCAUCAUUUUUCAUGAGAUUUUUAUUUUCAGCCGUUCAAUUUUAGACUACUUGUUUGAUAGGUAAAUGAUAUCGAAAAAUUAUGAAAUUUAGUUUCUAAAUACUUUCAAUAGUGUCGAUCAAGUCUAACGGAGCCGAUCGUCGAUUUGGAAGCCGCAUCAUCGAAAACAACUUGGUAGUACGGAGCGCUCCGUGCUACCGAUAGUAUAGUAGCCUAGUUCUAUAUAUAUAUAUAUAUAUAUAUAUAUAUAUAUAUAGAGUUGAGCUAGAAUACUCUCAAUAGUAAACGGGACAUUUUACUAUCGAGUUGUUUUCGAUGAUAGAGCUUCCAAAUUGACGAUCGGCUCCGUUGAACAUGAUCUAUACCACUUAAAGUGUUUAGAAAUCAAAUUUCAAAUCUUUUCGACAUCAUUUGCCUAAUGAUCAAAGGGUUUCAAAAUUUGUAAUUUUAAUGGUGGAUAAGAGACGUUUUCUCGUUUAACGGUGUAAAGAUAUCCAAAUCAAUUGAAUUUUUGUUAGAAAAUUCUUUAAACUAUUUAAAACAAGAUCUAUACUCUUGAUCUUGAUUACAAGACUCCUAUCAUCAUUUUUUAAAGAAUAUUCAUUUUCAGCCAUUCAUUUUUUGUUCACUAGAUGGAUAAAAGAACAAUAUCGAAAGUGCGUGAAAUUUGAUUUCUAGGUAGUUUAAAUGGUUUAGAUCAUAUUUAACGGAGCCGAUCGUCAAUUUGGAAGCUCUAUCAUCGAAAACAACUCGAUAGUAAAACGCUCUGUUUACUAUCGAGAGUAUUCUAGCUCAACUCUAUAUAUAUAUAUAUAUAUAUAUAUAUAUAUAUAUAUAUAUAUAUAUAUAUAGGAAGAAACCCGGAAGCAUACCAUGAACACGACAUUGCAUAUAGCUCCAAAUUCACUAGAGAACAAUCGGCGAGCAAAGACGGCCUGUUCAACUAUUUCAGCUGUCGUUAAAUGUUUUCUCAAGCCCAUCCUAUAAAGUUGAAACCACGGGUUUAGCCACAGUCAGUAUAUGCUUACAAAAUCAGCAAAAUUAAUAAAAAAUUACAAAAAUAAGAAAAAUUUAGAAAGCAAACAUACCUCCCAGUGUAGCAAAACUGGCAGUUCAUGGCGCAGCCCAGUUGACUCGAAACACAAACUGUGGUCCUCCCUCUACUGCAAGGAAUGACUACUGUUUCUAUCACUGAUCCAUCUUCCAGAUUGAACAGAAUCUGCAACCUCCUGCCAAUUUGGAUAUUAAUGAGAAUAUUCACAAAAAUUUAGAGAUUUGAUAAUGGAUGGUAUUAAGUGCAAGAGUAUCGAACUAGUAAAUUACCCACAAGAAGAGUAGUAGAAACCUACCUUCCGAGUUCCGUCCGAAGCAGUAAGGAUAUCUUUCACUGAUAAUGCCUUGAGAGUAGCAUGCUCGCUUAGCAUUUGUCUAAAUUCCUUUUUCAAACCUGCAAAAGGCCAAAUCGUAGAUUUAAUAGGUAAUGCAUCGCACGCAUAUAGUAAUAUAUAGACCAUGGAGGAAACUACAAGUCCAUCCAGAAAAGCAUAAGAAUAUUCAUGAAACUUUUCUCAAGAGAGAAGGAUGCUCACAGAAUGAGUUGCGAGCAAAAUCAAAAGUUAACUUGACUGAGCCGCAUAAUUAGAGCUAACUGAGGAAUAACUUAGUUUUUCAACUGAGUUUGUCCUCUAUGAUUCAUUGAGAAGUUAUUUGUGCAAUUCCUUGAGGAAAAAAAAACCCAAUACAUUAUGCAUCAUCAAACACUGGAACAACCAAGUUGCUUUAGCCUUAUGAAAAGGUUGAUUAACGAUGGUAACACUCAUUUUGAAGCAAAGCCACGGGGUUCAAAGCUCAACCACAGUACUGAAGGUUCAGAAGAACAGAAUAUUUCAAUAUCAACAGCAGAAACAUUAUUGGAAAGCAACUUCCUGGUUAUCACUAACUUUGAAAAAGAACACUUGCUUUUAAAAUCAUUUUUAAAGCUGAUAGCAACAAUGCAAAUAGAUUGCUUCUCAAUAACGCAGCAAAAUGUUCGCACAAAUUUGAUGACUGGAAAUUAAAACAAACGACUCUACAAGUAUAGCACAUCUGAGCACGUGGUCCCAUAAACAGGCACUUCAAUUCGUAGCAAAAAUAAAAUGGAUCAAAUUUACCCAGUGCAUAGCAUACUUAACUGGUAACUCAUAAAGCGACUAUAAAUAAGGAUUGAAUUGCUUAAUCACAUCAAACACCAAGUACUUAAAUAAGGCGCGCACCGAGCAAUUCAUCAUGGGUAUGCGCCCAAGUAUUAUUCCCGUAUAGACAUUUCCACAGCAUCAUAGCUUGCCCCGACCUAAAUCCAUGCGAAUGAACCCAUUUCUGCGAAAAAAACCAAGUUAUUGGUUUAUCAAUCAAUAUCAAAUAAGUAUAAGUUAGCUAGUUCUCAAAAAUUCCCACAUAGCAUUCUUUCUUGUGAAAAAAUAUUCAUAACAUCCAAUGCUCCUAAAUUUUAGGCUUUCUCAUGCAUCACAAAAAUAGAUCCCUCUUAACCAAAUUUGAACUAAAUAAGCCAUUUUAUUCUACAGGAUACGAGCUUUACGCUUACAACCACCCACUAACUUCUAAAACCCAAUAAAAAAGUACAAUCACAAAAUCGCAAUUUGGAGAGAAAUGAAGCAAAAGGAAGAGGUAAAACCCAGUAAACUCACUUACUUCGAGCUCAGGGUACUCCAUUUCCUUCAACAAAACCUUCGAGCCCGAGCCAUCUCCUAACCCUAAAAAUCCAAACUUUACCGAACUAACCGAGACAAAUCGCAAUAAAACCCCAAAUGUAACAAACUAGGGCAUCAAAUGAAGAUCGGCGAGGGCGCAACUCACCAAUCUCCCUGCGAGUAGCCGAUGGGCGAAGUGGGCGGCUAGGGUUUCGGGAGCAGAGGCGGCGAGAAAGGAGGAAGCAACGAGAGGUAGAGGAGGAGGAGGAGGUGGAGAGAGAGAGGGGAGAGGAGAGAGAGGAGAAGCUCCAUCGAACGAGAGGAAGAGCCAUUGGCGGAGGCGACGGAGGAGGAGGAGACGAGGGGGCGCCCGGUUUUAUCUUUUCCGGUUCGCUUUUUAGGGCGUGGGCCGAUCCGGUUCGAGGGGUUCGAACGGUUCAGUUGAACCGGACUGGUGGACCGGAUCAGUUUUACUUGGUUAAUUUGGAUCGAACUAGAAGAUCGUUUGAUUCGAACCGAUUCUGUAAAUGAAAAAUUUUUUACCUCGAUUUGAAUUUGGUUUUGUUAACUAUUUUUUAAAAUCUACAUUUCAAAUUUGAAAUUCAGAGUUGAGCUAGAAAACUUCUAAAAUUACCAACACCUUAAUACUUUCACCGUUCCAUGUCCUUUUAUAAUAAUAGAAUUUUUGAAUCGACGAUUAAUAUCAUUAAACAUAAUAUAACUUUAAUGAACUUUUUGAAAACUAAAUUUCGUAUGUUUCCAACAUUAUUUAUAUAUUAUUCAAGUGACCUCAAAAUUAAUAAAUUUUUUUUUUUUUUUGAGAAAAAGGUAGCACGCUACCCGCUUCAUUCAUUAAAAAGAUGAAUUAAGCUACAAGAGUGGGGCAACACGGCCCCGAAAGAAAGACAAGGCACAAAAAAAAAAAAAAAAAAAAAAAAAAAAAAAAAAAAAAACGAGAAGAAGAAAAGAAAUGGGGUUGGGUCCGAAAUUGCUAAGUAGCUAGAAGAAGUUCCCACUCUUUCACCAGCAGGACGAGUCUCUGGGUCGCUAAACCGGGGUUCGGCAAGAUGUUCCGAAAGAUACAAUCAUUUCUGACCUUCCAGAUGCUCCACCAGCAGCCUACUAGGUCUGUAAGUCUGUUUCGCUUCUUUUGGUGGUCCUUCAAGCACCUCCACUUAUCCCACACUCGAUGGACGUCAUCCCCCAAAUCUUGAGCCUGAAUGUCGUCCACCCCUGAUACUAUCAUAAACUUGCAGAAUACACAACGGGUGAAUAGAUGAUCCACACUUUCUUCUUCCGCCCCGCAAAGCACACAACAAGGAUCGUUAAUCCACCCUCGCUUAACUAACUUAUCCCGCGUAAGGAUUCUUUUCUUGAGUACCAACCAGCUGAAUACUUUAACCUUGAGAGGAAUUUUGAGACUCCAGAUGGCGGCGGCUCGGGCAUCCCUCGUCCCACCGUCCGUCAAAGCCGUCAAAUUAAUAAAUUUUAAUAGUAUAUAUAAUGUGUAUUAACUUAGCUAUAAAAGACUUGUUAAUCAAAAUCUAUUAUACUAUAUUUUUAGGGUUUAUUUGGUUCACCUACUUUAGACUAUAAAAUUUGAACGAGAUUCGUUGAUUUUGAUAAUUGUUGUUUGUUUUACAAAAAUCGGAUUCCGACUCCUAUUCUACUCUGAAAUGAAAAUAACCUAAUUUAUUUAUUGCAUAAUCUGACCCAUUCUAAAGUAAUCCGCUCAAAAUCUUUUUUCACAAGCACCUCUCUUCUCUCCUCUCGCCACUCUCAUCUUUUUUAAUCAAAAUUUUCUCUCAAUAUUCAUUUCAAUUUCAAUUCCAAUAAUGAAUCAAAUAUUUUUGAAUGAUUCAGCAUUCUAUUUUCCAUUCCAAUAUAAUUCAAUUAUGUUUUCUAAUCCUAUUUCAAUCAUGAAUCAAACAUGAGUGUUGAAUUUGUUUGGUAUAUUUCUUUAUUAUAUAUAUAGAGUUGAGUUAGCCUGUUGUCGGUAUUAAACAGACUCCGUUGCUAGAGAUUUGUUUUCAAUAAUUAGAUCCAAAUCGACGAGUAGCACGUUUGGCAUGAUCUAGACUAUUUAAAGUAUUUAAAAACUAAAUUUCAUAUAUUUUCGAUACUAUUAACCUAAUGAUCAAAGGGUAGCAAAAUUUAUAAUUUUAACAAUCGAUACGAAACGUUUGCUCAUUUAACGGAGUAAAAAAUUCAAAUCAGUUGAAUUUUUAUUAAAAAAUUAUUUAAACUAUUUAAAACAAGAUUCACAUCCUUAAUCUUGAAUAUAAAAAUUUAAUUUGAAGGAUAUUCAUUUGCAAUCAUUCAUUUUUGCAUUCACUUGGAUGCACAAGAGAACAAGAUUGAAAAAAAUACAAAUUUUGAUUUCUAAAUACAUCAAAUAGUCUAAAUCAUAUUCAACAGUGUCCGAUCGUCGAUUUCAAAGCUUUAUCACUGAAACUAAAUUGAUAGCAAUGAACCUAUAUAUUUCUUAUAGCAUUCUAUCUCAACUCACUCUCUCUCUCUCUCUCUCUCUUUAUCGCUAAUUCCGCUAUUUGAUCACAUGGAACAUGAGAGAUUCCCCCAAGUGGGCUUUACUUUUAAUAGUUUUGACUUUGUCCAAUAUUGAUUUGAAAUUUUUAUUAUCGAAAAUUAAAUCGAUAACAAAUUAGCAAUGAAUCUGUUUAUUACUGAUAGCAUUCUAGCUCAACUCUUUCUCUCUCUCUCUUUAUCGCUAAUUCCGCUAUUUGAUCGCAUGGAACAUGAGAGAUUUCCCCAAGUGGGCUUUACUUUUAAUAGUUUUGACUUCAUCCAAUAUUGGUUCAAAGUGGCGAGUUCGGGCGAACUCUCCACUUCAUUAUUUCUUGAUAGAGAAAAGUAGAAAAUUAUCUACUUUUGUUUUUAAAAAAAAAAUUUAGUUAGAAAUAUAAAGUAAUUGAAUUUCAAAUUUGAGAUUUUCAGUACUGAACAUUAAGCUCUAAACCAACUGUAUUUGUAACGAUCCAAUCCGCUAACAACAAUAAUUCGUUAGGUCCAAACCAUCUGGUCAAAAUGCUUAAGUCUCAUAUAAAUUGAUCGGAAUCAGUAUCCCAUCCGAUGUGGGACUAUUGGGGCGUUACAAACUCCCCCUUGUUUAGAUCCCAACGAAUCACAGACAUACAGGUCAGGACCAGAAUUACCAGGCGAUGUGAAAUUCUAUAGGUAGCUCCCACCAAAUCCGUUGGUGUAGCACUUUGUCCCGUAUAGCACUUAGCUCUCACACUUCCGGCUGGUAUUCAGCUCUGAUACAAAAUGUAACCACUCGACCUGCUAACAACAAUAACUCAUUGAGCUCAAACCAUCGGCCCAAAAUGCUUAAGUCCAGUUAUUAUUACUAGCGUGUAUGACUCAUAUAAACUGGUCGAAAUCAGUAUCUCAUUCGAUGUGAAACUAUUGAGAACGUUAUAGUACUAGAUACGAUCGAUUUUAUAAAAUUUUCAAGUAUAAGACAGCGAGAUUGAUCGUAUCUAUCAUAGUUGACUAAAAAUUUACCGAUUUAUAGAAAAAAUUUGAAAUUUGAAUUAUAAUUUAAAAAAAAUAAAAAAUAAAAAAUAAAAGGGAAAGGGCAAAGGGAAAAGGGAAAAAGGACAGAGUGAGUCCAACGUGACCGUUCUUUUGUUUGCUUUUCGAAGGGCAAUACGAACAGAAGUCAAAUCAACUACUCAACCUGAUAUAUUCUAUAAUAAACUACAAAGUAAAAUAAGCUCCAUGUUCUAGAUUCUAGUACUUUUAUGAUAAGAUAAUAAUAAUAUAUUCUGAUCUUAAAAUUUAUUCUUAAAUAUUAUUAAUGAGUUCGUCAUAUGCAGUUAAUUUUUAGAUAAAUUACACUUUUGAUCUCACACUAUGCAGCGCGUCAUUAGUUCUCGCAUUUUAAAUGGUUAUAAUUUUUAGAGCGUGACACUUUAGUCAUCGAACUUCAAUAAAUUAUAAUUUUUUGCUCGAACUUUCUUAAUUUUUUCGAUUAAAUUCUACGUCCCAAUUCUUUUGAAUAAUAUUGGUGAAUUACAAACAUCGAAAUAUGCAGUCCAAGUCAAAAAUUAUAACUAGUUUAACUUUUGGAACUAAAGUGUGAAGCGUCUUACAGUUUGAGCCAGAAACUAUAACGAAUUAAAAUUUACUAAAAUGUCAUGCAACUUAUAGUUUGAGAAAAAGUGUAAUUUACUCUAACACUUUUUAGAAAUUGAAAAAACAGAAUUAUUUGAAAGUUAUCAUUGUUAAGAUUAUUAGUUUCCUAGUGCAUAGAAAUUAGUUUUUUAUCUUGUAUGUGAAAAUAAGGAGCUUUUUUUUUUUUCUCAUCUAAUAGCAUAAAAGAUUUUAGAUAUGGGCUAAUCUCAAUUCGUACCUUCCUUGUGGGUCAAUUUUAAUAGAUUUUUAUCUAGAUUUUUAUCUAGAUUUUUUUUUAAAAAUAAUUUUGUCCCAUUUAAGAUUUUGGAUUGGUACAUAUCACUUGUUAAUAGUUAUGUACAUAAAAUUAAAUUAAAUUAUCAACAAUAUUUUAAGGUACCUUCUCAAUUAAUAAACUAAUAAUAUUGAAUACGCAUGAAUGAACGGUAACAAAAAAAAAAGUAUAGAAGCAUUACUCUAUAUCUAUAUAAUAUAGGAAAAUUUUCACAUACCACCUCUGUGGUUUCACACCUUCUCACUUUAGUAUCUUGUGGUUUAAAGUAUAUCAAUUUAGUGACAUAUGGUUUUAUUUUUAUCGUUUUAUUAUCGAUUUACUAAUUUUUUUUGUUAAAUCAGUGACAAAGUUAAAAGUAAAGAGUACUAAAGUGAAUAUUUGAUAAACCUAGAUAGGGUAUCUAAAAUUUUUUGUAUAUAAUUUAACAAAAUAUUAACAAAAAAGCUGACGAAAAGAUAAAAAUGAAACCACAGAGCACAAACUUGAUACACUUUAAACCACAAAACACUAAAGUGAGAAAGUGUGAAACCACAAUAGUGGUAUUUGAAGUUUACCCCUAUAUAAAUAUAGGGAUAAUUGCCUAUAUACCUCUCAUACGUUUGAAAAUAUUUGAUUUACCCUUUUUUCUAAAAUACCCCUUAUAUGUUCCACCGUUAUUGCAAAAUACCCCUGCAGUUAUCUCCUGUUAAGUUAACUUGGGUUAAACGUGAGUUAAAUAUCUACCACAGUUAAAAAAAAUUAAAAUACUAAUUUUGCCAUUAACUUAAGAGCAAAUAAGAAAUGUUGGUGAUGGUAGAGGGGUAUAUUGGAAAAGACCAAAAUUCAAAAUACUUUUUGUGCCCCUGACUUUAAGGGCAAAUAAGAAAGACAGUAAUGGUAGAAGAGUAUAUUUGAAAGGGCAAAAUAAUAAUUUUACAGAAACAACAGAGUUAAUUAACAUAUUUUAACUCUAGAAAUAUAUUAGAAAUAGGUUGGAAAGUAAAAAAAAUAUUUUUAAUAUUAGCCUUCUAAGAGGGAUAAAUCGGAAAGUCGAAAAUUUUUUAGGGGUAUAUAAGCAAUUGCCCCUAUAAAAUAUGUAUGUUGACUGAUAUGUUAAAUUACAAAACCAUCCACAACAUUUCCCGUGAUCAAUUACUGGGUGCAGUUGCUACCUAUCUUUCCCAUUAAUUAAAAAGUUAUGUGCACAAUUUAACUAUAUCAAAGGUCAAAAGACAUGACAUUAUUUUAGUCAAAAUAGUACAAAUUUUUAAUUCAAAAAGAGUAAGGGAUCAUGCAUGAUUUUACCCAAAGCAAAGCUGUGCUUUAAUUAAUCUACAUAACUUUUUUUUGGAUUUGUUUGAGGGUUACAAGAGUCAAUGAUCAUGGAGACUUAAUUGUAGAGAGAAUAAAUAGGUGGGGGUCUCAAUUGUUUUUUUAUUAUUAUAUUUGUAGGUUCUUAUUUUAGCUCCCAUCAUAUUUUAUAUAAGUUGUACAAGAAGUAUUUAUAAGUUUAGCAGUGUAAAAUAAUUCAAAUCCAGUAAAAUUUUAAUAAAACUUUUUUUUUCAUUAUUUAGAAUAAGGUUGGUAUCUCUGAUCUGAAAUUUAACGCAUUUAUCAUUUUUUUUAUAAGAACUUUAUUUUUGUAUUCAUAUUGAGACUAUUUGUUUUAUAGAUAAAUAAUAUAAGAUAAUCUAAAAAUUAAUUUUUAAAUAUUUUUAAUAGCGUAGCUCAUAUAUAAUGAAGCCCAUCAUAGAUUGGAGUGUCUUAUCAUUAAAAAUAAUUUGAUAGCAAUAUUCAAACCUAAGUCCUCCCUCUUACUUAGAUCUGGCAAUCUCGACCCAUACCCGCGGGUGCUCGCGGGUUACCCGCAAAUUUGCGGGUAUGGAUACCAACUUUUCAAAUUCAAAAAAUUACGGAUAAAACAGGUGGGUACCCAUUAAGCUGUGGGCAUUUUGGGUAACCCGUGGGUACCCACAUAUAUUUUUUAAUUAAAAAAUAUAUUUUUUAAUUAAAAUACAUAUAUUUUUAUUUAUCCAUUCUAAAAAGUCUAAUCCUAAUUUAUUAUCGCGUCUUUUAUAUUACGAAAGCUUUUUAUUUUAAGACUUUAAAUAUUUUUAUUGUAUGUUAUAACAUUUUAAAUAAUGAAUUAUGUUAUAUUUUUAAAACUUAUAUAUAUGUAUUUGCAUUUAAAAAAUAUAAGAGAUAAAAAGAAAAAAAUUGCGGGUAACUCACAUACCCACCCGCCCACCUGCGGGCGGGUAUGGAUAAAGAUGUUGGCUACCCAAAAAUUUACAGGUAAAUUUUACCCAUGCCCAAGUAACACCGGGGUACAAUAACCCGCCCGCGGAUUACCCAACCCGCCUGUUUGCCAGGUCUACAGUCACUAUACACGCUCGUAUGAACCAUAACAUUUUUUUUUAUGAUGCCCUAUUUUUCAGAAGUCAUUUAUUCCAGGACUAUUCUAAUUCUAAUAUAUUUAACCUUCUUAAGCUCCUGAAUCUAACCAUCGUUUAAAAUACUAUAACUGGAUUAAAAAAUUAAACCCUAUUAUAUUUUAUAUAAGGGUUAAUUGCAUACAGGUCCAUACAAGCAUAGUGAGUUACAAAUAUAUCCCUAUAAAGUUCAGCUUUCAUAUGUUGUCCCUACAAAAGUUCUAAUAUUUUCAAACAUGUCCUUACCGUUAGAAUCCGUUAGGAAAAAAAUUAGUUAACCAUAAGUUAAAUACUUAAUUCUGGUUAAUUUAUGAGAUAACUUGACAUUUUUAUUCUUUUUAUAUUAUACUGUUCUGACUUUUAGAUGAACAUAUUUGUGAUGGUAAAAUUGACAUUUCACUUAAAAUAUAAAUAGUUCUUUAACGGUAAUAAAUCAGAGAAAUAUAUUUGAAAAUAUUAAAACCUUUAUAAGAACAACAUAUAAAAUUUAAACUUCAUAAAAGUAUAUUUAUAAUUCCAAUUGAGCUCCUAUGCUUUUAAAAGUACCAAGCCAUUGGUACUUGUAAGUUUUGAGCCCUUGAAUUAAGGAAUGUGCGGUUAGGAUGAUGUGGGCCUUCUAGGGUUGAGUGAGUAGUUGGUUGAAUAGUAUAAUCUAACGGUUGAAAAUAAUUAAAGACGUAGAUCUAACGGUAAAAAACUUACAAGUACCAAGUGCUUGGUGCUUUUACAAGCACUAUAGUCGGACUCUUUAUAAUUCAUUAUAUUUGUAGGAAUCUGCGUGUAUUUAAUUUUUUAUAUAAAGAACUAGUAUCACUUUUUUUUUUGGGGGGGGGGGGGGGGGGGGUNGGUGACUUUGGCUUUGGCUCUCUCACAAAACAAGCCUGAAAUAGCAUCCAAAAAGAAGUUCAGCAUGCCUUGAAAUGACACCUCCCAAAAAACCCUUCAGCAUAUCCUUGUUAUAUGCUGUAACCCUAAAAAGUAAUAUCAUAUUACCUCAGUCCUUGCAUUGUUUUUUCCAAUCAUAGGAGGGUAAAAUUCACGAUUUAUUCUGUUAAAUUUAAUAUAACAUUAUCUAAAUUAUUUAAAAAUUAAAUUCUAUAAUUUUUAAUAUUAUUUAUCUAAUAAUUAAGUCAUCUCAAAAUAAAUGGCUAAAUAUAAAAAUUUUAUUUAAAACGACGACAGAGGACUUUAAUUCUAGAUCAUAGAUAUUUACCUUCUUUUGGAUUGUAAAAAAAAAAAAAAAAAAACUCAGUCAAAAUUCCAUCCAAUUUGAAUAUUUUUAUGCUUUUAAACUUGAAAUUGUCUUGUAUUGACUAAAAAAAAAAAAAAAAAAAACUCAGUCAAAAUUCCAUCCAAUUUGAAUAUUUUUAUGCUUUUAAACUUGAAAUUGUCUUGUAUUGACUAUGAAAUAAUUAAUUUUUAUAAUUUUUUAAUUACUGAGUAAAUAAUAUCAAAAAACUAUAAAAUUAAACUUUAAAUAUUUUAAAUAGUAUAAAUUAAAUUUAAUAGAAUAAUUUAUAGAUUUUAAUAUCUAGUUAUUAAAAAAAUAAAAGCUGCUGAAGCCUCGGUAUUUUUUUUGAAAGCAUAGCAUAGCUUCAUCAGCCUCUCUCUCUAUUAAGACUUAGUUUGAUAUUAAGAUUUAUUUAAGCUAUAGAUAAUAAAACGGAGUCGGGGUAAAAAUAUAUAGGGAUAUACUUCUACUUUCUUCGAUGGGACUGCAGAAAAUAUAUCGUAACCGACUAGUCACUAUAUGUGUAACGCAAUAGUACAUACGAAAAUAAAUCAGAUAUUUUUUUAUCGUAUUUUUUCAGUAACGCAAUCUUUUUACAAUUCCAAACAAAACCUAAUACAAAGAAAGAAUUAGGAUUAUUAUACUUUUAUAAAUAUAGAUAAUUUUGUACUCAUAAGUUUUUAAUAGGAUGAUAAUAGUUUUAUAGAAUUGAAUACAUGAUUGGUUGGAUAAUAUAAUUUAAUAAAUAAAAAUAAUUAAAAAAAUAAAUUUAAUAAUAAAAAAAUUAUAAGUAGAAAAGAGAACUAUACGGAUAAAAAUAUUGUAACGGAACUCGAAUGAAAUAAUCCAAUAAGACAUGGGAAAAAGUUAGAAUAAAUAAAGAGAGAGAGAGAGAGAGAGAGAGAGAGUGUCAUGAACUCAGUAUAUGCAUAGAAUAAUGUGUGUAUGCAGAGAGAGAGAGAGAGAGAGAGAGAGAGAGAGGCCAAAGAAGUGGAGUGACACACGUAGCUUUUAGGCAACCCAUGUGCUCUCACUCACACUCACAGCGAACGUGAGAAAAAAAAACAGAGCAAAAUUUAGAGAGAGAGAGAGAGAGAGAGAGGGAGAGGGAGAGGGAGAGGAAGAAGAAGGAGAGGAGGAGGAGGAGGAGGAGGGGAUCGCACAGCGCACGGAGUGCGUUGGAGUAGAAGCGCUUCGGGGAACAGCUUGUGCCGCUGCUGCUGCUGCUGCCGCUUGCGGAAGGAGACGAGGAUGAAGGAAGGGGGAGGAGACGGGUUCGUGAGGGCGGAUCAGAUCGAUCUGAAGAGCUUGGACGAGCAGCUGGAGCGGCACCUGAGCCGAGCGUGGACGAUGGAGAAGAAGAAGGAGGAGGAGGGAGGAGGAGGAGGAGUGGUGGUGGGCGUAGGAGGAGGAGGAGGAGGAGGAGUGGGCGUAGGAGGAGGGGGAGGUGGAGGUGGAUGUGAGGUGUGCAGACGAGCGGGGCGUGGAGGGGGACGGAGAGAGGAGUGGGAGAUCGACCCUCGAAGCUCAUCAUCAAGAGCGUCAUCGCGGGGCACCUUCGACCGUCCAUCGCGGCGUCUACGACGGCCACGAACGUCGCCGGUGAUGCCCUUCUCUCCCCUCCCCCUCCCCCUCCCCCUCUCUUUGUGUGUGUGUGAGAGAGAGAGAGAGAGGGCGAGAGAGGGAGAUUCUGAAAUUUUCGAUGUGUUUGAGUCGCCAUUAGAUUCAAAUUGCAAUACCCAUUUGGUAGUAUCUCUCCGAAUUUCUAAUUUUCUCUGUUUGUUUCUAUUCCCCGUUCGGAUUAAAUUUGUAGUUAUUUUUGUGUGUUUGGGACGCCAUUAGGCUCAAAUUUGAGUAGACAUUUGGUAGUUCCUCUCCAGAAUCUAAUAUUUCUGGGUGUUUGCAACCCCGUUCGAUUCAAAUUGCAAUGCCCAUCUUAAAAUUUCUCUCCUAUUUCUGAUUUUUCUGUGUGUUUUGGUCCACAUUAGAUUCAGGUUGCAAUACCCACUUGGUGAUUUUUCUUCAAUUUCUUAUUUUUCUGAGAGUUCCCCAUUAGAUUCGAUUUUUAUACUCAUUUCGUAAUUUUGAGAAAUUUUUGGCCAUUUUGCGCAAUGUGAAAUAUUCACUUCAGGGGCAAGAAAAGUUGCAAUUUUUGGUACUUUAACUAUAUUUUCUUUCGCUUAAGUUGAUCUCGUAGUAUUAAUUCAUAAAUUUUUAUGUUCUGGGCUUAUCUUCUGCUAAUUUCUGAUUCCGUAGAAACAUGAGAUGUGCAGGGAAAAACAAAAAUAAAAUAAUAAUAAUAAUAAUAAUAAAAGAAUGAUUUAGUAAUUAUUUAAUAAUCCUGUUUCUUUACCAAACAGGAAUAGCAGCUGUAUACUUGAUUUUGUAAGUACUGCCUAAGUCUUUAUAUCUAUCUUUUGUAGUGGACAUGAAUUGAGUGCAUUAGUAGACCUUCAUAUUGGCUUUUCCAAAUUGCUUUUUUCUCUUUCUUUUUUUGAGAUAAAAAAUUUGCACCUUUUCGAUUGGUGAAAGAAUCCAAUUGCAAAUUGCUUCUUUGGCAAUGUAAAAGCCCGUGAAUCUUAUCGGCUUCUUUCUGGUGGUUGGCUUUCAUCUUAACUAAUUGCACUCCAUAGCUUUUAUUGGAUAAGGUUCCUUUUUGAACUUCCAUGUGAUCCCAUCCAACUACUGAUUAAUAAUAUGUAGGGGUGACAAUGAUGUUGAUCUUGUGAUACAUUAAUGGCGGGAGAUUUAAAGCAGUCAAAGCAAGAUAUUGCAUAAAGAUUCUAAAAGCACACAUACUUUUCUAGAGAGAGGAGUGGAGCUGAAAGAACAAAGUGAAAUAUGGAUACUCGAAAAACUUCUUUUUUUGUGGAUGUUGAUUCUUUCAAAAAAAAGAAAAAAAUGAUCAUACAAUAUUUCUAUGAUGAUACGAUAUGCUAUUAUAGUUAUAACAACAGGGAAAGAAAUAUUUGGGAUUGGCAUUUGGCAUCCGAAUUAGGCUCAAACAUCCUUUCUAGUUUAUAUCGGCAUGACCUGUUGCUAUUUGAGCUAGCUUUCUUGUUCCAAAUAAGAUCUUACACAUCUCACUCGCCGAAUAUUUCCAUUCCCUCCAGCACAAAGGAAAAGCUUUAUAUUCUUUACAUGAUCUAAGUUUAUGCCUUAUAUUAUCACGUUUCAAGUAAGUACUAAUAAUCGGCUACGUUGGAGCUUGCACUGCAUGAAUGUGUAAUUUUCAAGCAAUCUGCGGCUUCACACUUUCUUAUCUCCAGCAAAUAGACGUUGAGAUCGACUGUACAAUUAGUUCUUUUGUCCGUUUUUGUACGUACUUUUAUGGUAGCCCUCUUUCUGUAGUUGUUAUAGUUCAAUAUGGAUAUUCUGGCCUGGGGAGAAGACGUUGAAAUCUAUUUCAUAAUGCUAGCAAUCCCCCCUCUUUUUGUUUUUCAGUGAAGUUGCUUGACUGGGGAGAAGAAGGUAGCAGGUCAGAAGCUGAAAUUGCUGCACUUAGAACAGCUUUUUCUCAGGAGGUUGCUGUAUGGCAUAAGCUCGACCACCCGAAUGUAACCAAGGUAUAAUUUCACUGCAUAACUGCCUCUAUUCUGCCUAAAGAUCCAUUUGGUCGUUAAUUUGUAAACUUACAAUAUCCAAUUUCAUAUUGUUGUAUGAUAUGAAUCUUUUUUUGUACAUUAAGAACCAUCUUAGGGGAGUUAGAUGCUUUGCAAAUGGCAAAUGUUAUUUUGUUCAUCAAGUUAAUUAUUCUAAUUUUCCUAGUAGACAACUGUUCUCCCAUGUAGCUUAACUCUCUCUCCAUAUUUGGUGCAUGUUACUCAUGUGCUGCUGCAUAUUAAUUUUAUUGGAUCUUCAGAGUAUAUUGUAACGUUAACCUACUUAAUGUGUAGAACAUUAGUUUGAGCAAAAUGCACUUUAUCCUGCAGAAGUUCCUGAAUUAUUUCAUCCAGUUUUCCCAAUCAAACACCUAAUAUUCUUCUUACUUCUGAACUUCUUGCCUUACCCUUUUUUUUCUUUUUUUUUUUCUUUUGCCUGAAAUGACAAUUGUGAUCUUACUUUAACCCUUUAUUGCCAGUUUAUAGGGGCUAUAGUGGGUGCGAGAGAUUUAAAUAUUCAAACAGAGAAUGGCCAUCUUGGCAUGCCAAGUAAUAUUUGUUGUGUUGUGGUCGAAUACCUUCCGGGAGGUGCCCUGAAAACAUUUCUUAUAAAAAAUCGGAGGAGAAAAUUAGCCUUCAAAGUAGUCAUCCAACUGGCUCUUGAUCUUGCCAGAGGGUGAGUAUCAGCACUAUCCUUUUUCCAAAGUUAACUCUCGCUUGCUAUUAUUUAGUUUUUAAUCUGUUUCGGAUCGAUUGCUAUUUUAAAUAGUCCAAAUUCUUGUUUGCUGGAAGAUUAAAGUGUGCCACUUUGUCAAUAUAGAUUGAGUUAUCUCCAUUCGAAGAAGAUUGUGCAUAGAGAUGUGAAGACAGAAAAUAUGCUUCUUGAUAAAUCACGAACCGUGAAAAUUGCGGAUUUUGGUGUUGCUCGAGUUGAGGCUUCAAAUCCUCACGACAUGACAGGUGAAACAGGAACUCUUGGUUACAUGGCACCUGAGGUAUACCAUCCUUUAUAGUAUCUACAGCUUCGUUGUUUCCAUCUUUGCGUUGCCUUUUGGUUCUCAAAUUGAUUUAUGCUGAUGAUUAUUUCUUGGGGCUUUUACAUAUAGUACCCUGCCGACUUACUUUUAUGCAUAUAAAUAUAUCCCUAUAAAUUUUGAAUUUUCAUAUGUGUCCUUACAAUGGUUAAGUUUCUUACAAAAAGGAUCUCAAGUUAGGGAGCCAUUCAAUUCAUCAUGAUCAGUUGGUUUCGUAAACACAAUGAUAUUUAUGUGAGAGAUUAAGUUUUUGAAAGGAACGAAUGAACACGGAUACAUAUAUAAGUAAGUAAUUUUGGUGAGGCAUAUAUCUAGAUAUGUUUAAGGAGACACCCUGAUUUUCUUUUCUGAUCUUUAUAUACUUACACCUUGGAUUCUUAAGCUAUCGCAACAUGCGAUGGUCCACUGCAGCAAGAGUUUGCCUUGCCACAUGCCUUUAGAUUUAGAAGCUGUUCUUUAUCUCAAUACUUGAAUUGUUAUGUGGAAAUCUCUCAUUGGUCAUUCGUUGUUCAGAUACUUUUCUCAUGUAUGAAGCAUGGGUCUUUUUUUUAGAUAUAAAAUAUAAAUUAUGCACAUACAUGGGUAUGUAUUCAAACUCGAGACCUCUUACUUUAAUAACAUGUGAAACAACAGUUUCCUGCAAAAUUUUGAGUAAUUAGAGAAAGAUUAAGAUUUAUACAACACUUGGGUUUGCAUGAUCUAGUGGCGAUUAAAUGGCCUAUGAAUGAACUACAGGUUCUCAAUGGCAGCGCAUACAACAGGAAAUGCGAUGUCUAUAGCUUUGGGAUUUGCCUGUGGGAGAUCUACUGCUGCGACAUGCCAUAUCCUGACCUUAGCUUCUCGGAGAUUACAUCUGCAGUAGUUCGUCAGGCAAGCCAUUUUCUUCUCAGCUUACAUCAUUACUUCAAUCUUUUCUUUAAAAAAAGGACUUUUUCAACGACCGAAAUUAUGAACUAGUAAAAAUUUACAGAAUUUGCGGCCGGAGAUUCCGCGGUGUUGUCCAAGCUCUCUAGCGAACGUAAUGAAGAAGUGCUGGGACGCGAACCCUGAUAAGCGGCCAGAGAUGGCCGACGUGGUGGCCUUGCUGGAGGCGAUCGACACGUCGAAGGGCGGAGGUAUGAUCCCUCUCGAUCAGCCUCAAGGUUGCCUCUCGUGCUUCGGCAAGUCCCGAGGCCCUUGACAAAAAUCUGAAAUUGCAUUAUGGGGAACCUAAUGACUUCCUUUAUGUUAACCCAAUGGAUCGAUAGAUACUUUGUAUGUAUUGUUUAAGAAACCGAAAACCUAGUUAAAAGGCCUGUUGUUGUAACUUUCUUAUAUAAGUUGAGGUAUAUAAUGGUCCUUAACAUCUUUGUGUAUAUGGAUUAAUUAUUAGUCAGCUGUUGGAUUUGAUUUUCUAUGUUGUGGUGUGUGAUCAUCUUGCAUGCCAAGUCCUAGUACUUGAUAUCUGGAUUGUUUAUUAGGGUUUAGGGUUUGGCUCCUUUAGGCCCUUCCCUCCUCCUCCUCCUCCAUUGUUUUUAGUUUUUCUUUUUUUUGCUUACCAAUGAUCUUUAACUUUGUAUCUUUUACCUUUAGUAAUACAUAACAAUUAGCUAGGGUUGGGCUCAGACUAGAGCAAGUACUCUGUUAACUUAACAUUCGUGUUUGGCAUGGUUCAAAUCAAAGUUCAAUCACUCGACUUAAACUAAGCUUUUCUUGGCCGCAAAUUGGAGCUUCUGCUUUCGAAAUGCGAUGAACAAACACCUUUUCCGCUACUCUCAAUAGCCCUAUGUUUUGUACAAGACAAAAUAGUUCGACUAAAGACACGGUCGGUCCAUUAAAUUUUGAGUUGCGCGCAGGUUGUGCUGCGGUCUACAAAAGUUAUGAACUUUAAAGGCAUUGCCCGCUGCCGUGUUCCAAACCAGCAGGCUGUGCUGUGCCGCAAAAAGCAGCCGCCUUUCUGGACUGAUGGAACCGAGCCACUCCCAACACGUUAAAUUUUCGCCCCUCACAGAUCAUGAAGCUGUUUGAUUAUGACUAUGAUGAAAUGAACACGAGUUUAGUGGAGAAACACCAGAAUCUGUGAGCUCCAAUUGUGACCAGUUGCAUAAACAGGCCCUUAGAUUGUUAACCAAAGCUACAAAAGGACAUUGAUAAAAUAAUUUGUACCAAGCUUGAAUUAACCUUUUUAUAGGUCAAAAAACAGAAAGAAAGAUGUUGACCUCACUUUUUCCUUCUUUUUUUUUAACAAAAUUAAGUACAUUCUCUUUUGACAAUCUUGAUUUUCAGACAAAUGCAAAAGAGUGCAAGAAAAGAGAUUCAUAAUAUACACAGGUCAAUUUCUCGGUGUUUACUGCCGCUCCUGGAGUUUCCUAGACAUUCACAAAUUAACAGAAGGAAAAACAACUUAAAAACUCCAAUCUGAUAUAAGUCUAUGAGGCACAUUAAAACAGGAAAAAAAAAAAAUCCAAGGCUUUCUCAUAGCAAAAAAGAAUAAAAGGACGAGAAAACCUUGCCUAUACAAUUCUUUUUUUUUUCGCCAAAAAAGUUAGAGAAGGCCAAAUUUGUGAUGAGUAGACCAUUAAAAGCUAAAUUUCAACCUUAGGAUUUUGAUCAGGAAUCGCUUUCUUGCUCGACAUCGCUUUCUGAACUAUUGGACUCUGCUAGUCCCUCCAGCCUAGAACUCUCAAAUUCUUCGAGCAGCAGCUUUCGUAUCCUCUGCCUCAACUCAGAAGCCAUUUCGGGUUUGAACCAGCUGCGACCAAACUGUCAAACACAAGAAUCAGUAAGGAGAAGGAAAAGAACAAAAACACUUCACAAGGUUUGGCUUGGCCUAACCAUGGCAAGAUCUUCAGUUCUUAGCCUUUCAGGCGCCUCUCUGAUAAACCGCUCGAUGAAGUAGAGCACAAAGAGACCACAAUCAUACUCGUUUUUCUGCUGGGGCACCUGACAAGAAUAGAUAGGAAAUAUUUCAUAAAGCAGCUGGGUAUGAAUUAUAGCUCCAAGUUGAAACAUUUUGUACCAACUCAGCCAUUAAACAAAUUAGGCAUUUCUAAAUGGAAGAUAGAAAGAUUCACUCACUGGAAUGAGAGCAAAUGUUAAAGAAAACAUUGUUUACAGCGAUCUCAGAAAAAUUUAUGCCGUAAGCUUUGAUUAGUUUAGUAAAUUAAAUGGCAAUAGACAACACCAUACCACACUCACGCCCAACCGUGCUGGAACUGAUUCCAUAAACAAUGCAUUCGCAGGUAAUUUGAAAAAUAGUUCAAACACACAUAUUACUGCUUUGUGACAUCUCAUUCUUAAGUAACUCUACAUAAAAAAGAAGAACAGAAGAAAAUCUGUUGAGAGAUCAUGAAGUUGCUAAUAAUGAUAUUUACCGCAACUUUAUUCGCCUGGAUCUCACUGGGAAGUCGUUCCCAUACUCUCUCUGAAAUUGGAAGAUCUGGUGUAACAUUCUUUAUAACAUGGUGCCAUUCUUCUUCAAGAAAUCUGAAACAUGCCAUAUAAUUCAAACUUUAUUGAUUUUAACGUAAAUAAAAAAAAGAAGAAAUCUACAUAGUGAAACAAUUCAGUGAUGCCAUUCAAAGUAGCAGGCAACAAUGCAGCAGCAAUAAAGUAAAACUUGAGUCUAGAAAAUAGGCAACUGAUUCCCUAUAUUGAUACAGCAUUAAUUUGAGUUUAUAAUUUAAGAAGUCAAGGAAAUUAUGAAAAGAAAGAAACAAGAAAAAAAAAAAAAAACUGUACCAAUAUGUUGCAAAUCUGAAUUAGCUAGAGAUCAUUAAUUGUAGAUAUCCAAAGCACAGUAGUAUUUACAAAACUUUCAGGUAUACUUACCUUUUAACGGUGUUAAAAAUCGGACUACUAGGAUGAAGCCCCAGUGAGUCCAAAUGAAGUAUAAUUGGUCCUGAUUCAUCUUCUUUUGCAGGAAUACAUAUAAUGAUCAAGCUCCAGUGCAUACUGAUUCCAUGCAACCACAGAAAAUACCAAGCAAAAUACACAAUUAAAAACCAUGCUUCUAUUAGAGAAGUUGAACAGCAACAUCCAUAAAUUUGACAAACAUAAUGUGUAAUCAGGUUAGACAAGGAUGCUGAAAGGUCAGUGCUAGCAUCAGUGCAAUGCCCUUAUUGUUGGCAUGUCAAAAGGUUCAGGCAAAAAGGAUGGUAUGGGAGUUGAACAUGUGCAGCGGGACUCAAGCAAUAAGGUAUAUAGUGAGCUGAAAGACCAAAAGAAGUCCUUAGUGCUAAUAGAAUUGCAAACUACCAAGGUUCAUAACAUUACAGAUCUUUUUAUGCAUUACAGUUUUGAAAAAUUUUUGAUGCUUGAACACGCUCCAUAAUAUGUUCUUACAUUUUAGCAACUUGUUUACACAAUUCAAGAUUCUAUUUCCAUGCGUCUGCAGCUUGUAGAAGUGUUAAGGAUGAAACUAGUAAAUGGACUACUGUAACUAAUUUCAUAUGUAUGCUAGUAAAUAUGUUUCCAACAAAGAAGCAACUUACUGUCCAUGAAUCGGCAAAAAGAUGUAUGCCUUUUGGAAUAUGUUUACACCUUUCCACCACCGCCUCAACUUCUGGAAAUGUAUGUUAGCAUCACCCUUGAAAUUGCGGAAAUCCAAAUCACAUUAAUUCAUGAAGAGGAAUUUCUACCAAUGAGUUAUGCAGGAGGCUCAGCAUAAAAAAGAUUAACAAAAACAUUUACAAAGUGAAAAAUGAACAGAUAAAUCACAAAAUAUCACGUAAAUAUGUAAGUAAAAAUUAUAUACGACAAGACAACAAUAAAAUUCAAACUGCCCCCAUUCCAGAAUAUUGAUUGAAAUAGGCAACAGACAUACAAGAAUAAACUAGUAGAUAUGUUGAAUAAACAGCACUGAUGAGAGAAAAAGUAAAUUUAUUUAGGACCAAUGACCGGUGAAGUAGGCAUUUUUGUUUCUUAUUGUUAGAGCAGCAUUUAAUUUCUGCUUUUAGUAAAAAAAAAUCAUUUCCAUCAUCUGAAUGGAAGGAAAAGAUAUUUGCUUAUUUCACAUUUGUCCACUUAUUCCAUCCACUAGAGCAGUAGGAAGGACGAACAUGAAACAAGUGAAUAUUUGCUCCCAUGUGUUUUCUAACUCCAGCAUCUACAAGGCUCUGCACGAGAAAGCAUCAAAUGUACACCAUUAAACCCAUAUACAUUACUAUAUUAGAUAAUAUUGAGUAACAUCUUCACUAACACGGUCUUCGAAAAGUUGCUUAAACUUGCUAGAAAAGGAAUUAAACUCCACAGUAUAUUAUACCUUUCUGGACAGAGCUUCCUCAAGUUUUUUGUAGAAAUAUGUGUUAAAUAUAUGGUAGUCUCCCUUUGGCUUCACCCCAUGAGAUAGGGAUCUUUGAAGGUACCUGCCAGAACACCAGCUACUUAGAAAAAUGUAAUAAGGCCACACAUAUCAAAGCAUAAAUGAAGUUAAUUCUCAAAGCAUGUUUGCUAGCUGCAUCGGAACUUAUACUAAUUACCUCCCCACCUCCCAAAACACACAUCAUCCUUUCACUUUGUUAAAACUUAUAUGAUGAAGAAAAAAAUUUGGCAUGAUUUAAUGGACAAUGGCCCGAAAAGGCCAGUAUUGUGCUGACACAACUUGUGCUACAGCAAGGAACAUGUUGGAUGAUAGCAAGUGACUUGUAAAUUUGUAGCAUUUCUCCUUAACCGCCACGAGUCUCGUUGAAUCAUUUUGGGAAGGACCUUAACACUAGAUAAAUAAUUUGCAUUCCAGUUCAAAGUAAGAAAGAUGACAACAUGAAGGAGAAAUUCCUCACAACAAACCCAUAAAGAGGUACAACAGCUAGAAGGAAACACGAAAACGAAAAUAAGAGAAAAAAGAAAAAAGGAAGAGGUUCAGAGUGAGGUUCAGAGUUGAGUAUGGCAACUGCUUACAAAAGCAGCACUCAGCGAAAAGAGAAAAAAAAUAAAAGAAUAUACUUACUGAAUGUAAAAGUUCAUUAUAGGUGAUGAUAUGUAUGAUUCAGGAUCUAGACAUUUUAUAUCCGAAUAAGUAAGUUCAAAGGCUUCUGGAUCAUUCCUGUUAGAAAAAGUGGGGGGUAAAUCAAGGUAAAGUAAAAAUUUAGUCAUCAGAAAAUCAGCAUGAGCCUAGAUGAGGAUCACCUCGAAGGAUAGUAGAUCUUAGGUUCCCUCCCGGAAGUACAAGCUAGUUCAGUUAAAUCAACAGCAGCAUCUUGAGAGCUUGAUUGGCUGUAAUGCAAAAGAAAAGGCAUGAAAUACAUUGUGACAAGGCAAGCAAAGAUGAAGAGAUCUCACCCUUUUUCAUAUAUAUCUUCUUCGAUUGACUCUAUAGGUUGUACAUCAUCAUCAUCAUCCAAAAGAACCACUUCCUGAGCCUGACAUGGCAGAAGAAUUAUGUUAUUCAGGUAAGAUCAAACAUCAAAACUUCAAGUACAAAUGUGUUCGAAACAAACAACAUUAGUAGUAUGUUAAAAAAAAAGCCAAUUGAAACGUCAUCAAUAUUCAUUGGCAAGGCAUAUGAUAAGCAAUUCAAUGAUAACACAUAACAGAGAAAACUACAAUGUAAGAGAAUAAGUUAUCAAAUGAAAAUACUGUGGCACAGUGUUAUCUAGCAGAUAAGAUUGACUGAGCAAUAAGUUUCUGCCUACAUAUUUGUAUUAUCCACCAUCAUGAUAACACGAGAUUAAGUCUUUUCCUAUAAUUGUUAGAGCAUUUAUAAGAAUGUAGAAGGGACUCUAAUGAGGUAACGAAUGAACAAAACCUGCAGACAGCAAGGUCUAGAAUGCAAAUAGAACUAGCCAUCAAAUAAGAAUGUAAAAGGAAAUAGGGCUGACUAUCUAGUGGAAUCAAACAAGCAAUCUUUAACAUACUAUAUCCUGGUUAGAGUAUGUUAGGAGGUUUCUCUAGAAACUCCUAUGUGACCUUUUCACGGAAAGAAUUGCAACCAGUCGAGGUUGUCCUGUGGUUAGCUAGACUUAAUUCGGAACAGAUCGUAUGGCUUAUAUUUGAUCUAGUAGAGGUGCAGGUUGGGUUUGAAUUUUCCAUACAAACCUCAUCUAGAGAGACUACUUAGCCAAUCCCCCCAAAAAAAAACAAAAAAUGCUCUAAAUGGAUGAGGUACCACAUAAGGUUUAUUAAAAACUAACACAACAAUAAUUAAAUAAGUAGACUUAUGAUGUGCAAAUAUGUGUAGCAAAAUAAGGUGCAAAAAUUGUGGAUAAGGCUAUCGUUAAAAGACCAAAUUAAGAAGAAAAUAACAGUCCAAGCACAAGCAACAAGGAGAAUUAAUUUCCCAGUGUUUAAGUGUACAGCGGCAUGCGUAUGCACACUAACCCUUUGGACGUCAGAAUUUGAUGAACCCACAGGAUUACAAGCUUUCCUCCUGCAAGAAAGAUACUGGCAUGUUAGAGCAGAAUAUUUCCAAGUCACUGAGGGCAGUUUGCACGGUAAAGCACUUUCGCUAUAUAAUUCCAUUUGCAACAAGAAACUCGUGUUGCCAAAUAGCAUAUGUAGCAUUAAAGUAAAUUGAAAAUAUAAAAGGAUUCCACCUUCCUCAUAUCCUAUGUAAGGGGAGGGAGAAAUCACUGUUUGGGCAAGAUGUAAAUAACUGUGUUAGGAGGUUUCUCUAGAAACUUCUAUGUGACCUUUUCCUCAUAUCCAGCUUCCUCAUAUCCUAUGUUAGGAGGUUUCUCUAGAAAAUUACAUCUAGAUUUUUUUCAACCUUGUGAGACAACAAAUAACUGUCAUCACUGAAACUGAAUGAGCAUUUGUAUUACUCUAAUUACUAAGAAAUACUCACGAAGAGAAAUAAUCCUAUUGGAUAAUCUGUAAUUUUCAAUUUCUUUAACUUGUGGACCCAAAUAUAGCUAAGGUUUAACAGACAGCUCUUCUAGCAGCAAUUGUUGCCCUGUAAGCGAAGUGCAAGGAUUGCCCAUGCCGCCUGUAUCGUACCGUCUCAAGGUCGUGUUGGCACGUAGUACGAGGUUGUGCUGCCAACAUAUUGACAAAAUAAUUUUUUUUGUGUUUUUUUGAGGUAAAAAGUUUUAUAAAUUUUUUUCAUACUUAAAAUAUGUAGAUCUUGUAAAUCUACUUACAUUUGGAGCAACUAGUAAGCUCCAUUGCAUAAUAAGGACUACUUUAAGUAAAAAAGUACAAAUAAUAAGAUUUCCUCCAAUUUCUUUUAUCAUUUAAGACCUAGUGAAUUUACUCAUAGUAGUGUUUUCUUACAAAUUUUACCCAAUUAUGAUUUUGGAUUUGGUUUCAUGCAUACACUUCGUAAUAUAAUUAAUGUGUAAACUAUUUUUAUAUUCAUUAGAUAUAUUAAAACAGUAAAAUUUUCAUGAUAAUUUAAUAAAAAAAAUUGGUGUCAAUGCAUGCCAAAGUGCUAGUGGCAUGCCACUAGACAUUGGCACGCCCUGUGCCACUAUGUCGUGUCAUGCCGCUAGCACAGCAGCACGGGCAGUGCCAGUGGCACGACAAUCCUUGGAGGAGUGUGAUUCCUAAGAAAGAUUUUUAACCAUGAUAAUAGACCAAUUAGAAGUGAUUAAAAACAUACAGGAACAGACGUAAUGCCAUAAUAUAGUGCAGAUCAGUACAAAUACGGACCAUUUGAACAAAAAGCAGAUGAAACUUGGAAGAAAAGUGAAACAGUGGUAAGUGGAAAAGCUUAGGGCAGGUAAAGGGUGCGCAUCAGGCAAGGUCGAUAAUGCCAAUGCAGCAAACAGGAAAAGAAGCAACUGAAGGCAUGCGCCUCUUAUAGGUUCAUCAAGGAGGACGUAGUAGGUAAACCAGUGUAAAUAAAGGCCCUUAACCAUGCUGGAGUAUAGCGAUAGGCUUGGUUUCAAUAUAGAACUUAAAGAGCAUAAUUAUGUUAUAUAAAAUAAAAAAGGCCAGAUAUUGGAUAUGUUGGCUCUAAAGAUAAGCUGUACACAUGAUAUAGGAAUAUAGGAUAUAAUGAGUAUUGAGAAUAAGGUUCUACAAGAAUGUAUACCAAAUACACAAAAGCAGUAAGUCAUUAUUUUGCAAAGCAAAAAGCAGCAAGUAUGGCCUAGAUCUAUCUUUACAAAAUUACGAAGUUAAGAGUAUGGCAAGUACCUCUUAUUGCAACUAGCUACAUUUUUAUCCCUUCUAGAAAAAUGUUCAGAGUCAGUGUCAUUACAGCCAACAGUGGAAAUGCUCUGUUGAAAAUCAUGGGCAGAGCAUUUAGAAGACAGAUUGCUGGAAGACGUUUUGGUCAACAACUGAGAUAUUCGUCGUCCAAUCCUUAAACUUCUGGACUUAUCACCACCAAGAUGACCUAGGCCAGUGGCAGAUGGAGCCCUUUCCUGAUGAGUGAUGAUAAGACAUAAAUUACCUCCACAAGCAAUUAAAACAAUGCCUGAAUCUUCAACUAUAUAACUAUAUACCUGGCUCUCAAACUUCCUUGUAGAUCGGGAGGGGGAAGAUGAUUGGAAGCAGGAAUUGAAUACAUCAAACCAAGCUGCAAGCACACAUUAGUUAAAAAAAAAAAAAAAAAAAAAAACAGUAUUCUGUGCAUAAUUUUUGGCGUAUGUCAUUGGAUACUCAUUGUUACAAAUUUACAAGUAAUUAACUUUUGCUGCCAAUUAAAUUACAUCGGGAUAACAAUUACCAACCUCUCUUUGUCAGAGGAUUAUUAUUUGUCUAUUUGAUUUGAUAUUAUGUCACGGCAAGCACUAAAAGCCACUGUAAUAGUAAACAAUCAACAAAAAUAUCAUGGCAUUUUGUGACAAAAGCACUGUUCCAAAUCACCCAAAUCUGAAUAAAUUAUAUGAUUAGCCAUUAUUGCCUUCUCCUAUAACAAAUGAUCAUAACAUUUACGUGCGUCAUGGAAUAUAACUGUAGUAAGUUCUAGUUGUAAGAGUAUGAUGUAAGGGAUGCAAUACAAAACAGCAUUUAGAUACACAAAUAGAUCCAUAGGAUCAAUUUAUAUCAACUAACAUUAUCUCCAGAGUUCAUACGCAAUACCUUUUGUCACAUGCAUGAGUCUUCGUACUUGUACUUUACCAAUAAAUCUUUUGUUGACAUAAUAGUAACAGAAAGCAAAAGAAAACAUCAAAUAAUGCAAGAAGCUAUUAGAAUACAACGAGUUUGCCCCACAGAAUGAGGAAAUUAAGAAGUUUUUGUACCUCUCUAUAGCAUUACAAUUUACACGAAGUAACCUUUUUAGAAGUCAAAGCUCACCGGACGAUCCUUUAUUUUUGGAAAUUGUGACCCUUUCGCAUGCUUCAACUUCCUGUAAAUAAAUUAAAAAAAAAAAAUUCAGUACCAGGUGAAUGAAAUAGUUAAAAUGUAUAAUUAAAAGCACCAAGAACAAGAACAUAAAGCAAUCAUCUGUUAGCCAUUCAGCAGAAUAAUUUCCUUGUUAUUCAUGCUUUCCGUCAAAAAUUUCCAACCUCCCCACCCAAGUGUAGAUACUUGCAAUAAUGUGUGGACUCUGAAACAUACAAAGUAUGCAUCUAUCUGAUUAAUUAUAAACUUUAUUUGUAAUGGCAACUAAUAACAGACGUUAAUGCGUGAUUAACAGUGUUCCUAAACUUCCACACAGAAACUCUGUCAGUCAGUCAUCAAUGAGUCAUGAUGUAAUAAAGAAAAACUCUCCAGUAUGCCCUUCACAUUUUAGAUCAGGAAAUCAUGUUUGACUGGCAAUCCUAUGGUUUAUCUUUCUCUUUAUCAAAACUGAUCUGUCAGAGUUGUGAGUUGUAAGCACACAUACUGCUGCUGAUGAUGAAGACUCUCAUGUACAUCCACAUAAUCAAUUUCUCUCUUCUUCUUACUCUGUUCCUUCUUCAUUCUCCAGUUCUCUGUAUGUGAUUCUGCCCAAUUCCCUCUCAAAACACUUCCAGCAAAGAUUUGAUAACAAUUUGCUGCACAUGAGGAGUGUUUCUAUUACUACACAGCUUUUUUCACUUUUUUUUGGGCCAAACUCUCAAUUGUAUUGAAGUUCUAGAGCAAUUCCUACAUGCUGUGGACAAAACGUAGAACUUUAAACAGAUCUGAGCAUUUCUGUUAGUUACAGUUUACUCGAUCCUCUGCUGACUUACAAAAUACCUGGUUGGCAGAUGACUAGAAGCAGCAGUGUGGAUCAAGCAUAGAGUUCACAAUUUAUAGUUUUUUAUGUAAUUAACACUCCUUUGUGAGGUUCAGUACCAAGAUUGACAGUAAAGAGUUUCGAAAUCCGAAAGUUUUCCAAUUCAAAAUAUGGGUUAAUCCAUCUUGUUACAAAACAAGGAAUAAAAGCAGACGAUAUUUGCCGUAAUAGACGUAUUAGACAGAACUUAAGCGUCAUUUGGUAACACUAUUUAAUUCUUAUUCUUUUAAAUACAAAAUUUAUGCCAGAUGAUAGCACAUUGCAUUGCAAUCUCUCUCUACAAAUAUAGUUUGUUUGGCAAAAAAAACCCAAAACUUUGUAUUAACUGUUUUUCACUUCUUUGUUUUUCGAAUACUAUUGGGCAUUCAGUCCAGGCACCAACACAAAGUAACUAACAAUAACUAGAAUUUACGGGUAGAAUCAAUCUUUUGGCGCAUCCAAUCACUUAAGAAAUUUGCGUUCAAAAACACAAAGUAAACGACAAGGCUACCGAUCGUCGAACGAGGCCUUGACCUACUAUUAUUGUUUGUUUACAAAGUUUGACGACUUGUGUAUAGCCUAAAGUUCAACAUAAAGCUACUCACAAAGAAACUUACGAUGUAAAAAGUGAAAACACCCGUAAAAUUCAGCAUACUUCUAUUAAACAGUAGUUAAGUCUCCAUGAUAACACAAUCUUAUAAAACCCUCCUCCCUCUAUCAUCUAUCAAUGAUUCAAUGAAUCGGUCCGUAGUAUACCUUCAUAUCCCGAGCGAUAACUCGUCUCCGCUGGAGCUCGUCCUGCAACUUCGAUCGGCUGCGCCGCAGCUUCUCCCCGUCGUCGCGGAGCUUCCGACUCAUCGAUAAGUCGAGAUCGUCGAGCCUCCGGAUCCGCUCCUCGAUCUCGCGAUCGGAGAGCCGCGCCAACUCCUCCGCGUCCUCCCCGGAAGCGCCGCCGCCGCCGCCGCCGGAGGCGACGACCUCCACCUCCGGCGGCGGAGCUUCGCCACGGCCGGGUAGGAGAUCGCCCCAGUCGAGCUUUAACGGCGCCCUCGCCAUGGCCGCGGCCGCGGAGCGAGCGCCGAGCCCCUGCGUGAGCGCGACGGAGACGACGACGUAGAGAGAAUCGGGGAAGGGAGGGGCGUGCGAAAAGCGUACUUGAGCGCCCGAGUGGAGCGAAAAGGAUUGGUUCAACUAAAAAAGGAUUUAAUUUAAAUUUAAAUUAAAUCAUUAAAUUGCACUAGAAGCACUUCGAAGCUUUUGCCAAAUUUUAUUUUAGUCCUUAAAGUCUUUAGAUUUUUAUAGUGUUAAGCUAUUAUAAUUUCAUAAGCAUAAAAAAAGUUGGUAUUUUCGACUUUUUAGCUAUAAGUGCAUCUAUAUUUCUAUCCAAUUAUUCUUAAGUUGCAGUUUUUUUUUCUAUUUGAAAAUUAGAUCAUCAGAUCGAAAGUAUAAAUUAAAACAAAGCUCACUGAUUUUUAUAAUUUAUAAAUAAAUUCAUUAAAGGUAGAGAAUUAGCAAAUUUAGAUUUUUUAUGUGCACACCAAACACAUGAAGCAACACUAAAUUAGGGAACAAAGUAUGCCCAAACGAAAGCACGAGACAUACUUUUGUAGAAAUUAAAUUAUUUAUAGUGGGGCCACUACUGCUAAAAAUUUUCGGUAUUUUUUUUAAAAAAAUUCCGUGAUAUAAAUUCCAUAUAAGAAUAUCAAUGUUAGAUAUAUUUAAAAAUAAUUUAAGUUAAGAAGCUUAAUUUUAUAAAUUUUUUUAGGAUACUAAAUUAGGGAUGUCAACGGAUUGGAUUCGGGGCGGAUUUUUAAAAAUCCGAAUCCGAACCCGACGGAUUUUAAAAAUACAUAUACAAAUCCAAACCCGACUAAAAAUUCGAAACAAUUAUUUCUCUUCUCAAUAUUUUAAAAUAUAUUAUAUUAAAUCUAAAUUUUUAAAAUAUAAAUUUAAAUAUAAUAUCAAAUUUUUCAGGUUCAUGUCGGGUCAAUCAAAAUCCAAAUCCAAAUCCAUAUCCGUCGAAUUUUUAUUUUUAAUAUCUAUAUUCAAAACCAUAUUCGUUUAGUAUCGAGUAAAUUUGUUCUGUUCGGAUUCGAAUUCGGAUAAAAUUUUGGGUAUCCGUACCUACUCACAUCCCUACACUAAACAGUUGCAAAAUUAAUUCGACAUUUGCAGAAUUUGGAAUAGUCUUAUAUACCUUAUUGAAUAAAAAAGAAUAUAUUGAAUGAAUAGAUGGUAAAUUCUAACAUUAAGGUAUAGUAGAGUUUGCCUUUUUAAUUUUGUUAUUGCAUUCUGGGCGGUUGCUAAGUCCAAAAGAAUAGAAAAAUUGAGCAAUUUCACGAUUAUAGUAGUUUUAGAAUAGAUAAUUUUUCUCCACAGAAUAUCAGAGUCAAUUAUUAGUUAGAAAUGUGAGAUGAAUUUCGAAUGAGCUAGAGUUAUACAGUGGGCAAGAGUGCAACUCCCUACAAGAUGGGCUAAAACUAACGAAACGAGUCCCACAUCUCAUAAUACUUAAGAAUGUGCUUAAGUGUGACAAAUAUAUCACAUCAUAUGAAACUUAGAAUGAUUUGAACCAAGAUAUCCAAAUAGUAGGAUAGGGUAUUAGUAUAUCUGACACAUAAUUUAAAUGUGAUAAUUUGUCCUCUAAAAAAAAAAAUAUUGAAUGAAUAGAUGGUAAAUUCUAAUAUUAAGGUAUUUCUUUUUCUUCGUAAAAGAUACUAAUCGCAGCGAGAAUGGAAUUUCCACAAUGACCGCAAAACCUUUUGAUAUCAUCUAAGAAAAAUUUUGAGAAUAAAAAUAAGUGUUGUACCCAACCAAGACCGUCGAGGCCGCGCUACGAUUUUUUUUUUUUUUCCCUCUCUGACCCUCCUCCACUGUCUCCUACAACGACGUCUAUCUCGCACUUCUCGUCCUUUCCCUCUCACUUCUUCUUCGCCUUCUCCGCCGCCUCCCACGACGUCUUUCCGCCGCCCAGCUGAAUUUUUUUUUUACUAAAAUUAAAAUUAAAUAAAAUUUAAAAUUUUUUAAAAAUAGCAUAUUUUCUCCGCACACACAUUACACGUUGACGUGUCCUUCGAGUGGUACCUGCUCCCGUAUAUUUAGGGACGAGGACGACAACGCUUCUCCUCUUUCUCCGCCCCCUCUCUCUCUCGAUCCCGAUCCACCAUUCCCCCUUUCCCUUCCACGAAGCUUCCUCCUCCUCCCUCCUCCUCGGACGAUCUCCAAUGGCGGUGCGAUCCCCCCUCUCGUCCCCUCCCUACCUCCACCUCCUCCUCCGCCGCUCCCUCCUCGCCCCGACGCCGCUAAAGCUCGCCCUCCCCCGGGCGAGGCCCCUCACCGCAUCUUCCGCUCGCGCCGGAAACCCUAGGUCGGGAGGUUUCGUUCCCCGGGGGUCGGUGGAUGCGGCAGAGAACGGAGCUCCCGCGGCGGCGUCGGCGAUCGCGGGCGCUUCCGUUUCCUCCGCCAUCGAUUUCCUCACUCUGUGUCAUCGCCUCAAGGUUAGAGAUCUCUUAUCGCAUGUGAAAUGGUUUGAAUUGGAGCAUUCGAAUGAUUCAUGCGUUGUUAUCUUCGUAAUCCUAUUUGAUUUGUAAAAAGCUUUGUGGCUUAAAAACUGCGAGAAAAAUGAGAUCCGAGAACCUUUUUGAUUCCAUCACUGAGCUACUAAUGUACUUCGGAAACCUUUUUGAUUCCUUGAAAGUUCAGGUCUACAAAAUGAUCACAUCGCCAUUGUUUCACUUUGUAUAUUAGCUUAUGUAGGCAUCGUCUCUUAAGGAAGAUUAGGACCACCAUAUUUGCUGAAGUAUGUGAACACUCACAAGAGAGGCUAGAAAUUGUAGAGCAGCUUAAGAAUUGAGUAUGUAAAUGAUGUGUUUGUUAUGCGCUUACCCUUCAAUGACGAAUAUCCUUUACAAUGUUCACGUGACCGUCGCCUGUUUUUUUCCUCCGUUAUUUGUUUCCAUAGCUAGAAAACUGAGGUUUCUUCAGUUUUGUCGUUUGUUUGGCAGAAAAUAAAUAGUGUAAAAACUAUAAUUUAUACAUAAAUAAUAAAUAACUUGAUAAAUACUAAAUUAUAUUAUAAUAAGUAAAAAAAAAUAAUAUAAUUGUGUCCCUAUAUAAUUAAAAAAUUUAAUCUAAAACAACUAAAUUAAUUUAUACAUAUAUAUAUAUAUAUAUAUAUAUAUAUAUAUAUAUAUAUAUAUUAUAAUAAUACAACAAUAAAAUAAUAGAGUUAAAAAAAAAAAGUAAUACUCAAUCAAAUUUUCAACAUAUUUUAAAUGUGCAAACUAAAUGAAAAAAUUACUAAAACUUAACUAAUCAAUUUCCAUCACAUUUUAAAAAUGUAUAACUAAAUAAAAGAGUAAACAGUACCACAAUCAAUAUAUUUAAAUAUAGCUAGCAUUACCCAUUGUAUUAUUUUAUUAUUUUUUCCUUCACCUGUUUUUUUACCGUAAUUGACUUUGGUCUAGGGUGGAUGUUAAUUACGUUGUCUUGGGUAACUCGAGCUUCGAUUGUAUCUUUAUUACGGCGAACCAAAUAGCGAAAGUGGCCAUUUAUGGCUAACAUUGACUUCACCCCACUCCACUUUCACCUAGACAAACAAGCCCGUGUUCGUCACCAUCAUUGAAGCUUUCCCUCGAAAAUAUGUCUUCUUGCUUGCAUUCGGAACACGGGAAAACUCCAAAAUAAUUUACAGACUUUUACAACUAGUUAUCAACCUAAUACAAUCUCUAGAAAUUAGAACAAUACUGUGAACGAGAUAAGAUCGGACAAUAAAUGUCCCUUUUUUUGUUUCCUCUGCAUACAAUCUGUAAAACUGAUGCCUUCCGCAAUUUCACUUGCAACCACCAUUGAACACCUAGUCCAUUCCACUAUAGUAGGAUGUUGUGUUUCUAUUGUGGUUUGCAACAACUAGUGCAUUUUAGCACUAGUAUGCGUAUGAGCCAGAGUGUUUCCCAAGAUGCUCUGUGCUUAUGUAAUUUAUAUAUGCUUAUUUGUAUCAAUUGCUGUCUCAACUAUUAAUUUUUCUAGACAACGAAAAGGAAGGGAUGGAUCAACCAUGGUAUAAAAGGCCCAGAGUCUAUUGCCGAUCACAUGUACCGCAUGGCGCUUAUGGCUUUGAUUGCUGAUGAACUUCCUGGUGUGAAUCGUGAAAGGUUGUCAAAGUUACAUUUCUUCUGAGAUCUUUUAUUUAGAGAGACACUUUCCUAAACUUAUAUUUGUUUUUUAAAUUCUUUUCACUGUUAAUGUACUUAUCAGUUUCUUGGCUAGUUUGCCAUCUAUUUAUUUCAAUUGAUUGGUUUCCGCAAACUGGCUUAUAUGGAACUCAGUAACUGGGAUAGCAAGUAGUUAACAGUCUAGUUAUUAGAUGCUAAGUUAUUGAUCUCUAGAUAACAAACAAAAUGUGUUUAUUUACCCAAUUUCCUAAAUUUCAUUUCGGAAAAUUUUCUGCUUUGGCCAUUUUAUCUAGAGUUAAUAUUGUAGAUAGAGGAAGACAUAAUAGUGCCUGAUAUAAAUAUACACUUCCUUAAUUGGAGACUAUAAUUAGGAUGCCAAAUAUGUUGAACCAUUUGUGGUGUAUAAUCCCCAUGGAAAGCAAUAAAAGAGACUACCAUGUCAUUUUGCAAUAAGUUUUGACAUUACUUUGAUUGAUGGGUCCUGGUGCAUGGGAUGUUGGUUUUUACUUUUUAGGGAGUCUAGAAGGUUGAAGCAUGGAUUUACUGACAGCAGCAUGUCACUCCUGUGGGCAUGACCAGCAUGUGGUUAGUGUGCUGACCGGCUUCCUUAGAUCAGUUACUUGUGGCUGAUAAGCUGGUCUUUUGGCAGUAUGAGUAUUAGUUGGUUGUUUUUUCAAUGUUUCUUAUAAUGAUUAUGAAGUUGGCAGAUCAGUCGUAUUAUAAAUGUAUGCAAGUUUGUAGAACAGAGAAGGAAUGAUGUUCAUGUCAAAGGAAUGAUCGGUCAUAUUAUAUUAUGAAUAUAAGUUUGGCAGAUCGGUCAUAUUAUAGAGAAGGAAUGAUGCAAGGAAAGAACCUAGCCACUAGCACAAAGUAGUGAACUUUCAAAAUAUGAUGUUCAUGUGGAACCGUCCAUUGAAGGAUAUUCUGUGCUAAUAUUUUUUAUGCUCAGUUCAAUCUAAGUAUCACUUCACUGGCACAUGAAUCUUGCCUUGUGUAAAAACAGUUGGUGGAAAGACUGAAACAACUGAGUGAGAUUUUGAUGGUUGUCACAAUUGUCUUAAUAAUUACAAAAAGGUUUUGCUCUUUGUAUGAUUUGAUUCCUUUGUUGUAUUUAUAUUUUUUGCUAUUACUGUUUGUCUGUUUGCUCUGUCUGCUAAUUGUUAAUUGAUUGUAAUUAAUUUCUGUUGAAUAGGUGUAUCAAGAUUGCGAUUGUGCACGACAUUGCCGAAGGUAAUCACCAUAAUUUCUCCUUUCAAUUGAUUUUUAAUUCUUAUUGAUUUUUGAAUAAUGAUAGUAGUCUUUUUCAACUUGUUAGUUGGUGCUUACUAUUAUAUUUUGUCAUCCACUUUAUAGUACCCAUGGGCCAAACAUCGGCUUGUUGAUCUCUUGUAAAUUGUUUUUUUCGCCCUUUUUGUCAUAACAUUGCCUAUACUUAGAUGCUUCAAAUUUGAGAUGGGACUUUCAUUUGACAGCUAUUGUUGGUGAUAUCACGCCAUCCGAUGGUGUGCCAAAAGCUGAAAAGAGUCGGCGAGAGCAGGAAGCUUUGAAUGAAAUGUGUGAUAUCCUUGGCGGAGGACCUAUAGGUAUACUUAUUGAUAUUGGUUUCUUUCCUAUGAAACUACCUGCAUAGUUAGAUGUUGAGAAUAAGGUGCCCAUUUUCUGCAGCUAAUGAGAUCAAGGAACUAUGGGCGGAGUAUGAGCACAACUCUUCAAUUGAAGCUAGUCUCGUGAAGGAUUUUGACAAAGUUCAUUCUAUAUCCUACCAAUUUUUGAUUUUCCACUUUUAUACUUGAAUAUUGAUAUUAGAGAAGUUAUGCCAACCUUAAAAUGGAUACUCAAAUGCUGAAAUCCAAUCCUUUGUAGUUCUUUAUAGUUUUGUCAUCUUCUUUUGUUGUUUGACUUAGAUUUAACAUACUAUUCUCGGACAAAACAUGUCUUUUCAUUUUAUUCUUGAUAGGGAGAUUCUUACUAUUGAAACAUUUGAUUCCAGGUGGAAAUGAUCCUUCAGGCUUUGGAAUACGAAAUGGGUAUGCUAUUUGCUCUCAUUUGUAUCUUCAUUUCAUCUAUACCUUGAAGCAUCUUUUGAAAACUGUAGUACAGAUGGAAUUUAUAGUUACAAAAACUGUGCUUUUAUGGCGGGCAAAAAUUCAAUUUUCCAUGUUUAAACACUGCUUACAGACUUCUGCUCUUAUCUGUAUUAUUAAAUUGAACUUUAACUCAUUCUUCGUGAACUCGUCCUUCGUUCAGCACAUGGGAAGGUCUUGGAUGAAUUUUUCCUUUCUACAGCAGGUAAUGUAUACUGAGUUGCUCCCUACUCAGAUAACAUGUUUGAAUAGCGUAGUGGCAAUAUAUUUUCUUUUAUGUCUCAUCAACUGUCUCCGUAAUUAUUCUACUUAGAGCUAAUAAUUUAGUGUUUUUUCCCCCCCACUUCCUGACUUGAACAUCAUAUAGUCAGAAUAGCAUCGAGAAGUACUCCGUAUUGCACUUCAACCCCUUAAACAAAACAAUUACUGCCUGGACUUGGUCUGCCGCGUCAGCCAUCGACUGCCCAGCCCCAGGGCAUCCGCCUUCCACGCCUCUUCCCUGUUGAAUCCUCCACCCACUUAAUUCUCAGCCUUUGCUUGAUCUAAAAAUUACUUUCUUUAAAAGCUGUGGUGAUCGACCGAAGAAAAGUGGGAGUCGGCUGACAUGGUGAACCAAGUGUGGGAAAUAACUAAUCCUUAAACAUGGUAUAAAUUUGGUAGUUUCUUUCUUGCAGGGAAGUUCCAAACUGAUCUCGGGAAGCGGUGGGCCGCCGAGGUGGUCGCCAGGAGAAACAAGAGGUUAGGCAAACAGGCCUAACUUUUAAAUAAAAACAUCUACUCAGAAUAAAUUAUGGGCCUCGCCCUCGGGAACAAAAUAGUUACGCAGAUCACCGUUUGUACUGGUGAGCCUAACGUUACCAACAAACAACUAAAGAUCUUCAUAACGAGACGCCACAAGAAGCCGGGCGUUCACAAACUGUACGUCGAGUGCGUAGGCGUCAAGGUUUGGCGCUUUCCUUUACGACUCCCUUUGAUCUUUUGAAUUGAUCGGUCGGAAUUCGGCUUAUCUUGGUUUUGUAACUGCACUGAGAGAAAAAAAUUCCUACAUAGUUUAGCUAAGAAUCAAAAACUUGGAAUAUAGGAAAUAAGAGUUUCCGCAUUCAUUUUUUGAGCUUCAGUUUCGCCUUUUGCAGAAUUAGGUGUUUUGUGAUCCUAACUUAGCCUAUCAAUGUGUUGACUCGAAUUUAAUCUCUUCUGUGUGUCGUCUCGAGAUCGGUACCCGAUGUGAUUCAUCACCAUUUGACGAAAGCCGAGUCAACUGUGCUGCCGAUAUUCUAUGGUUGAUUGUUCCUCUGUCUAAAAAAACCCAAACACAAAAAGCAUGGUAUGUUUAUUAAGCUUUCUUGCAGCAGAUUAUUCGGGAAAUGCUUUGAAUGUACAACUUCCGCGUACAGCUGAUGCUUUAUCCGGACAGGAUUUGAGUUUGUGUGAACAUCUCCAAUAAACAAUUCAGGUACAGAGAAGCUGCAUAAUACUAAACGCAACCCACUCGCUAUUUCCCCGUUUUCAAGGCUUAGUAGUGUGUCCUCGUGGACUUGGUUUAUUAGUCAAAGUCAAAACUCUAGGUAUUGUUUUCGGAUUAAUGCUACAAUGCAUGCGUGGUUAAGAGGCAUAAAUCACGAAGAGGUAAGGAUGAUUCACAAGACCAUUACGGAAAUUUAAUUAUUAAUUUGUGUAGUUGGUAAGAGUUUGUUUCUAAGCAUAACUUUAUACGGGGUAGUAUCAACUUUGAGUUUUGGCUCGCGGAAUGAUCUAGCUAGCUAGAGCUGAGCUCGUUAACCUCAAUAGUGGAUAAAAAAGGGGGGGAGGGGGGCAACAGAAGCUCAUACGAAAAUUUGUUGAUAUGAAAUUAAUUCAAAUUUAGGCAAGCUGUGUAGAAAAUGAUCAUCAUCAUCAUAAUGUUGUUAAGAUGCUAAUAGUAACUUGCUACUUUUCCCUUUCUACUAAAUUAUCGUAACAAUUCCAGUAUCCCUGAGGUAGCGUUUGGUUCGGGAACAAGAGGGGAAUAAGCUCUUGUUCCCCCUUUUGUUCCCAAACGGUACAUUUGGUUUCCGGGAACAGUAGUUUUCGAAAAUCUGGAACAAGCUGGUAUAAGGCUGGAACUGUUGUUCCACCUGUUUUCUAGAACAAGCUUGUUCCUUGAUGAGAACAAGGUUAAUUAAAAUCUAAAUUUAAUUUUAACGACAAUAAAUUAUUAAUUAAUCUAAUAAUAUAUUUAAAUCAUUAUUUAUUGCUUUAAUAAUUAAAUAAGUAAUUUAUUUAUUGUUUAUAAUUAAUUAUUAAUAAUUAGAUAAUUAUUAUUAUUAAUUUAUUAUAUAUAAUUAAUUAUUAAUAAUUAAUAAUAUUCAUGAUUAUUUAUUAAUAAUUAUUAAUAAUUAUUAUUCUUAAUGAUAAUCGAUAUUAUUAUUAAUUUAUUAUUUAUAAUUAAUUAUUAAUAAUUAAUAAUUAUUAUUAUUUAUUAUUAAUUAUUAAUAAUUAUUAUUCUUAAUAAUUAGAUAAUCGAUAUUAUUAUUAAUUUAUUAUUUAUAAAUAAUUAUUAAUAAUUAUUAUUAAUAAUUAUAUAAUCAAUAUUAUUAUUAAUUUAUUAUUUAUAAUUAAUUAAUAAGAAUAAUUAAUAAUUACUAUUAUUUAUUAAUAAUUAAUUAUUAUUAUUAUUAUUAUUAUUAAUAAUAUUAAUUAGAUAAUCAAUAUUAUUAAUUUAUUAUUUAUAAUUAAUUAUUAAAUAAUAAUAAUAAUAAUAAUUAUUUAUAAUUAAUUAUUAAUAAUUAAUUUUUUAUUUAUUUUUAAGUAAUAUUUUGAUAUUAACUAAUUACAUAAUAUAAUUUUAGUUUCAAAUUAUAACUCUUAUUCCUCUUGUUUCAAUCUAACCAUCCAAACACUAUUUAUCUUAUUCCUAUGAACAACUCAAUUUUCAUCCAAACGUAAAAUUGGUCUAGUUCCUACUUAUACCUGAACUUGUACCUAUUUCUGGAACUAGCAGUUCUUACUUAUAUCUGAAUCAAACACAGCCUUAGCGUUUUCGGAGAACGCUGGUGAUCUUACUUGUUCCAUAGGACUCGCGCUUGAACAUGUUGUGUGCGCAUUAAACCUGAACUGAGCUUGAGCAGGACCAAUUUGAGCUCAAACCUCAACUUCUCUACGACGGGCUAUAUGGCAACACAGAUGUGCCAGUGUGAGGAGUUUCUUUUUGAGAAUAAAUAGCACGCUAUCUGUUUCAUUCAUUGAAUAAAUGAAUUAGGUUACAGAAAUGAGACAACCAGGUCUCGGAAAAAAAAAUAAAAAAAGGAGGUUUCAUAUCCAGUGUGAGGAGUUUCAUAUGGCUGUAAGUGCUAGCGACUUUUCUGAAGUCGUGAUUUUCAUCUCCCACUUCCACCCAACCUAAACAAGCCCUUGACGUCCAUUUGUCAACAAUAAGAGCCAGAGAGAUUGUAUCUUAAAUAAGUUUAUGCGAUCUACAAAAUUUAUUUAUUUUUAUAAAGAUAACUAAUAUAUUUUUAUACCAUAUUUUCUUUUAUUGGAUGUAACGCACGCGGCACGCCCCAUAUCAUUCCAUUUCUAAACGAAGUAUUUAUUACUUAGAUUAAAGUCGUUCCCUCUCCCCCCUCUCUCUUUCUCUCUCAAAGUCAUUGCUUAUAUAUUAUAUAUUAUAACAUUAAAAAAAUUACCCCCUAUGCGUGUUGGGAAAGAGUAAGCUGAUUUUUUUUUUUUUUUUAUAUAUAAUUAUUAACCCCCUCUUAUGUUAGUGAGAUCUCAGUUGACUUUUACGAGUUCGCAAAUCGCAACCUAACGGUUGUUGGAAGGCGCCAAAUGGGCAGCGCGGUUGGACCGUCCAUUCCUUCAAACCCCGAAUCGGUCGGCCCCGAACCCUUCACGUGGGCCCCACCAAAGUGGGCCCCAGACGACGUGACGUGGCAUUCCAGGUUUCCUUUUGCUUUACUCCCUGAGAAACUGUUUCCGUGAGCCGAGUGUGCCACGUCAGCAACGAUAUGUCCCAGUCUCACUAACCUUGGACAGAUCGUGAAUGAUUUUUUAUAUAUUAAAUAUGAUUUAUCAAUGGAACUACAAUUUUUGAGUAAUUUUUUUAACUAUUUGUUUAAUAAGAAAUUAAUAACUUUACAACUAUAGUUUUUUUUUUCUUUUUAUGCCUGCUUUUUCAAAAAACUUUGUGUUAGGAUUUAAGAGAGGAAGAUUUUUUAAAUCUUGUUCUCUUUUUUAAUUGACUUAGUCACUAUCCAAGACGAAAUUAAUUACGACAUUUUGCGAAAGUGGAGUUACAACUUACAAGCGAAUUUAGUGGAAUUACAACUUACAAGCGAAUUUAAUUACGACAAGCUAAAAUAAUAAAACUGGACGUUACGGCUGAAAACAAAUUCACCCUCUUCACUUUCUGUAAAACAACAUAUCUUAAAAAAUAAAGUAGAGAAAUUAAUUAGCACAAACAAUCAUCGAUGAAAGAUCAUCUGAUAAGCACCUCAUGCGUUAUCAACGUGCGAUUUUGAGAUUCGUGUCAUUCACAUGAUGGACGGUAAUCUCGCAUUGGAGGCCAUCCCCAUCAAACUUUAUUUCAAAAAAGUUCUACAAUAUUAUUCUUAUAUGUUGUUGGUUUAAUAGUAAAUUUAUAUAAUUUUUUUAGAGUGCGUCUAUGAGUAAUCAAAAGUUUUUAUAUUACAAAUCAAAAUAGAUUUGCGCUGAAGUGAAAAAUGGACUAAUAAAUCUAUCCUUACAUUACACCAGUUUGUUAGUGCACUCAUUAUCUAGGCUAAACUUUUUGUAAUCAUUUUCAAAGCAAUGUGAGACGAUUAAAAUAAUUAUAUAUAAUUUAUACGUUUAUACAAGAUAAGUGUGAGCUCUAAGCAAAUGAAAAAUUUUAAAACAUUUUAAAAUAUUUGAGAUUAAGUCUUUAUUAAUUUUGAACUAAAAUUUUUAGCAACACUGUUGUAACAAAUCAGUUGCGUGCUGGUUGAAUUUAUUACUAUAUUUUCGUGCGUAGAAAAUUUCUGUAUUGAACCCGAAGCUCAUUACCGGUUGGAUGAGUCUUCACCAUCCAAUGAACUGGCUUUGUUAUACAGCUGUAAUUUAUACUAGUAAUGCGCAACAAAAUCAAAUCCAUUUAAGUCCCAGCAAAUGCAUUCACUUAUUAAAGAGUAUCUACAUAAAUAACUUUACUUAAAAUUUUUUUACUGAAGAGAAAUACUGUGUCCACAACCAAAAAGAAAUUCUUUUAUAAUGAAUGAAGUGGGUAGCGUGCUACUUUUUCUUCAAAAAAAAAAAACCAAAAAGAAAUUAUAAAAUCUCUACGGCACUUCAUCCAAUGGUCUCUCGGCUUUAGCAAUUUUUUUUUUUAAUUCAAAGCAUACAAAUACAAAUUAGGAUUAAUUUCAUACAUGUUUCUAUAAAUAUAGUAAAUUAUAAAUAUGUUCCUACAAAAUUCAACUUUUAUAUGUUGUCCUUUUAAAAAUUAUGAUAUUUUCAAAUAUGUUUCUGCCGUUAGAAUUUGUUAGAAAAAUUUAGUUAACUAUAAGUUAAAUACUGAAUUCUAAUUGAUUUUCGACAUUUUUAUUCAUUUAUUUUAUACUAUUAUAAUUUUUGGAAGGAUAUAUUUGUAAUAACAAAAUAAAAAAUAUAAAUGAUUCUUUAACGGUAACAAACCAGAGAUUUGAAAACAUCAGAACUUUUACAGAGACAACAUAUAAAGUUGAACUUUGUAGGAAUAUAUUUGUCAUUCAUUAUAUUUGUAAGGAUUUGUAUGAAAUUAACCCUACAAAUUAAGUAAUAUGAUUAAGUGUAAGUUACAGAAUUCCACCUCAAAGUUAAUGAAACAUAACAUUUGCCCUUCAUUUAAUAGUAGAUAUAUGAACCAAGAAGAGAUGAUUCUGUGUUCAUUAUAUAAUAUUUGAAAUACAUGCCACAUAUAUAUUAGCUAGUCUUUGUCUAGCUUGCUUCUGAGAGAGUUGACAACUAUCUCCAUCCAUACCAAGCUACUGCAUAAAAAAAUAAAAAUAAAAAUAAAAAUAAUAUAUAAAUUUUUUUUAAAAAAAAGUAAAAAUUUGAAGCUAAACCCAAGGAGAGUCGCUGUCACGUUCACUUUGUAUUGGAGGAGGGGGAGAGGUGGAAGAAGAAGAGGAAGGAAAGGAGAUUGGAAAAGGAUUGGGAGUGGGUCCUUCACCAGCUUUUUUUUUUUUUUUUUUUUUCUAUGUUCUUCUUUUUUGGGGGGCAUUUGACUUUUAAUGCCCCAUUGUUGCUUCUUGUUGCAGGGAUGCUGCAUUUGGAGACACCAACCUUAUAGCAUUUAAUUCAGGCUAUUUUAUGAUCUGGGUUCUUUUUCUUCUUUUUCUUAAGCCAUUUUAGUAGAUAUUUUUGCUUGAAAAGAGAGAAAAAUUGGAUUUUUAGGGGUGUUAUGCAGUAAAAGUUCAAGCUUUUUUUUUAUUUUUUCAUGUUGGUUGGGUGAAAAAUUGCAGCUUUUUGGUGUUUAGAUUUGUGGAUGAGUUGGUAAUGUUUGGAGAUUAGGGCAAAUUUGAUCAUUGUGCACCAAGCUCUGAGUGGACUACACAUUGUUGCUACUUUUGAUGUCAAUUGAUUUCUUAGCAAGAAGUUGACAAAGAUUGAAGCUUCUGCUUCUGCUUCUGAGAUCUUCAGAAGAUCUUCAGAAGAUCUUCAGAAAUUUGCUGUUUUGCUCCUUCAAGUUUGUGAAUUUGAGCUGUUGGAAGCAGGAAAAAAAUGGCAGGUUAUGGCUACACAGACCCAUCACUUCCAGAAGACUCACCCCCCUACUCUUCUUCUACUUACUUUCCACCUCCUCCACAAACUUCUUCUUCUUCUUCUUCUCCUUCACCACCUCCUCCUCAUUCCCAUCACAAUGCAAAGCACUUCUCUCCGCCGCCGCCGCCGCAGCUUGCGAAUUCCUCUUCACCUCCACCUUUAGCCUCUUCACCCCUCCCUUACAAUAGCCCUCCUCCUCCUCCCUCUUUUCCACCACCACCACCUCAAAAUUACUCACCCCCACCCCCACCUCCUCCUCCUACAUUGUCUCCUCCACCUCCCGCCCUCGCCCCUUCGGCUUCCCCGCCGCCGUCCCCCUCUUAUACUUCGGCUCCGCCUCCCUAUUCGAACGAACCGCGCAUAUAUCCGUCCCCUCCGCCGCCAUUCGCUAUACCUCCGCCGCCAAUUUCCCCGUCUCCCUCUCCUUCCGAGGCUCCCUAUUCCCCUAUUAGUCCUUCGGUGCCGCCGCCUUCGGUGCCCCCUCCUCCCAGGCAUAGUAGUCCGCCGAGGCCCGCCAAUAAACCGCAAACUCCGCAUCGCCCAAUCCCCCCAAAGUCGAUCAAUUCUAGCGCGAUUUCGACUGUAGGGAUUGGAAACAAUGAUUCGGCGAAGAACAUUGUAAUAUCUCGCGAAACCGCGGCCACCGUUGCCGUUAUAACGGGCCUCGUGAUGCUUAGUUUUAUCGGCGCAGCUGUGUGGCUCGUGAAGCAACGGCGGCGGCUGGAAGCUCCUGUUGUAUAUGCUGCAAAUUUCGUGCCUUCGCCUUCGCAAGUUUCAGGUAAUUGAUUUCCGAGACUUGUCUCAUUUUUAGAUUCUACGUCGUUAUUUGUUACCUGAUCGAUUGAUCUAUCUCAUUUUUAGAUUCUACGUCAUUAUUUGUUACCUGAUCGAUUGAUCUAUUAUGAAAUGAUCCUUGAAAAGUAUGGAGAUUCAGCGAGUUGGAUGCUUGAGGUGGGGAUUAGAUUCAUGGCCUUAUUGAAAUGAUAACAUCUUAUUCAAAAGAUUGAUCCGUCAGGAAAUGGUUUAGGAAGUAGCAAAAUCGUUGGUAUUUGACCCACUCAAGCCGAUACCGCUGCUCUCAUUUUCAUUUAGAUUAAAGAGGAGCACUUUGAAGCAUAGCUUGCAUUGACUAUUGAAGUAACUUGGAUUAUUUUGGUUUUGUUCAUCAGAUACAACAUAUCAAAGAUCGCCGUUGUAUCCUUUCAUGAAACACAGCUCGGGAAGUUACGGAUUUCCUUACUCGCCAUCAGAUGCAGGGUUAGGCCUUUCGAAGCUGUGGUUUACAUUCGAAGAGCUAUCGAUGAUCACAAACGGCUUCUCAAGGCAGAAUCUUUUGGGUGAAGGUGGAUUUGGUUCCGUGUAUAAAGGAUGCUUUCCCGAUGGCAGAGAAGUGGCCGUGAAAAAGCUAAAAGCUGAAGGUGGACACGGCGAGCGUGAAUUUAAGGCCGAAGUUGACACUAUCAGCCGGAUUCAUCAUCGGCAUCUUGUUUCGCUAUUAGGCUACUGCUCAUCAGAAAACGAAAGGAUGCUCAUCUACGAUUAUGUUCCUAAUAAUACACUUUAUUAUCAUCUUCAUGGUGAGUUAUCUAUUUUGCUGAUAAACUUUUAUUUGCUUAUGUUCAUUUUCAGAAUCUUUCAUUGUAAUUUCCAAUUUUGUUGAUAUUGCAGGAAAAGGAACACCGGUUAUGGAUUGGCCGACAAGGGUUAAGAUCGCUGCUGGUGCAGCUCGUGGAAUUGCAUACCUCCAUGAAGAUUGUAAUAUAUGUCCUCUCUUUCGCUUUAUCGGGUUAGUUGUUCAUGAAAACACGAACUUAGUUUGUGCGCCUUUUUUCGUUAUUUCUCAGGCCAUCCUCGGAUUAUUCAUAGAGAUAUAAAGUCCUCCAACAUUUUACUCGAUAAUGACUUCGAAGCUCAGGUUAUCUUUGACCUCUGAACUGUCGAUAACAACAGAUAGUCUUGUCGAUCACCUUUAUUUUUCUGAUCUUUUCACAAAGAUUAUUGUUAACUUAAUAGUUACGUGUUAGGUUUCGGAUUUUGGACUCGCAAGGUUAGCCAUGGAUCCCAACGCGCAUGUGACUACACGUGUAAUGGGAACAUUUGGGUAGGUAAAACUGCACCUUAACAUAAACUAAGCGAAACCAGCAUGUUAUCUUGUUUGCUGCUUAAGACCCACAUGAUUUCUGGGUUGCUUUUUACCUCGCGAAAACUGAUGCUUUAGUCUCUUUCCAGGUAUUUGGCUCCGGAAUAUGCAUCUUCCGGCAAGUUGACUGCUAAAUCAGAUGUUUAUUCAUUUGGGGUUGUUCUCUUAGAGCUUAUUACCGGCCGAAAGCCUGUCGAUACAUCUCAACCUUUGGGAGACGAGAGCCUCGUUGAAUGGGUGAGCCCUCAUGGCGUCGAUUCAUGUCUCAGUUUAUCUUUUUUUUGCAUUAUAAGUUUACUCAGUAGCUAAGGAAAGUUAAUGAAACAUUAUGUUGUGGCACGGCAUGGUUCAACUGCAUGUUACUUCUUUUCGUCCUAUUUAACCUUUCUAUGUUAUAUCCAUGAACAUCCAUGAAUGAUUGUUUAUACGUCGAAAGAGUAAAAGUGUUUUAUGUUUGAGGUAAAAUAAUACUUGUCAUACAUAUAUAUAUAGGUUGAAACAAUCCUAAUCCUAAUAAAAAAAAUGAUUAGAUUCGAGUUCAUACAAUCCUAAUAGGACUCGUAUUAAUCAUUAAUUUUCUCGGGUCAAUAAUUAUAAUAUACAAUAAGCCCAUUUAAAAAUGUGAGUGGGUGAGCCCUUACGAAAGCCCAAACAAAUUUAAAAAAAAAAAAAAGAAAAUUCCAGGGGAAGGUGGCGGGGCCGCGCUCUGGGGAAGAUUAAGGUUCUAGGUGGUAGGGAUGUCGCGUGGCCUUCAUUUUCACGGCCCCAUAGCUAAUCAUUUGAAACCCAACUAGUAAUUUAAGGAGGGUCUGAUCUAAUACGUACGGGCACACCCACAUCCUUAUAAAGUUACUAGGGUUGGGAAAUCCUGAUUUAAAUCAUAUAUCCAUCAAGAGCAUGGUUCAUAUUUCGGUCGGAUAAUUUUGAUAUCCCAGAAAAUAGGCCCCAUCAUAAAUUUAUAAUUCCGUUCAAAAUCUACGGAACUCUUCUCGGCGACUAUUUGGACCACGCUCCAACACAAGCACUCUACCACACAAGUACUCCUCCUAACUAAGUCUCAUCUCAGAAAAUUCGAAUUUCGAAUUUUGAAUUUGCCCAAAAUAUCAUCCAACAACACAUUUCGAAAAUUCGUCAUUCGAAUUUCGAAUUUCCCAACCAAUUUCCAAACCAGCGUCCUCAACAACCGAAUGAAAUUCGAUUUUCGAAUUUCGAAUUCAACCCAACCCAAGUUUUCCCAAAACAUCAUCCAAAACCCAUUCAAAAUUCGAUUUCAAUUUCGAAUCCUCUAACCAAUUCCCAGAAUAUCAUCCAACAACCCAUUGAAAUCGAUUUCGAAUUUCGAAUUCUCAACCAGAAUUCCUAAAAGUAUCAUCCAGUAUCAACCCAUUCAAAAUUCGAUUCGAAUUCUCGAAUUCUCAACCAUUUCCCAAACAUCAUCCAACAACCUAUCGAUUCGAUUUCGCAUAUUUGAUAUCCCAACCAAAUUCUCAAAAUAUCAUUCAACUCAACUCAUUCAAAUUCGAUUGUCGAAUUUGAUUCUCUAACCACAUCCCAAAUACUUACAACUUAUCCAACAACUCAUCAUCGUUUCGAAUUCGAAUUUGAACUCCCAACCACCCCACCUCCAUAUAUAUCCUCACAACCAUCCAACAAAUAAUUCAAAAUUCGAAUUUCGAAUUUUGAGUAUUUCUUAAUAACUCCUCCCCUGCCCAUUAUUCAUAAAGUACGGGAACCGACAAUCAAUUCAAAGGAACUUUUUUUUUGAGAGAAGAGCUACUACAUAUAUAGAUGCUAGAAUACUUCAAGUUCAAAAUAAUUCAGGAAGGAGGCAGUGAUAUUGCCGGAGCUGCCGAAAGGAGGAGACGAUUGCCGGAGCCGCGGAUAAGGAGGAGAGAUCACUCGAGCCGCGGAAAGAAGGAGAAUCGCCAAGCCGCUGAAAGAAAGAGGAGAUCGUUGAGCCGCUUCAUUCGAAUCCAUCAACAGGUAGUAAAAAAAAAAAAAGAUAAAAAAAGAAAAAAAGAAAGAAAGUAAAAAUAAUAAUAAAACAAAAAAAGAUCUCUUUUCUUCCCCCUCUUUUUUUUUUUUCUUUUGUCCGACGAUCGUAGCCACCCAUAUCAUCUAGAUGGCUUCGGUGGGAGAGUGGAGGGGAAUCUUUGAUUCCCCGUUUCUUCGGACCUCUCAAUACCCCAUUCGAAGUCGUUGAUGAUGGAAUGGAUGAUCUACAUUGCUGCGACCAUCUCCAGCAUGUUUGGUUUGAUACUUUCGAAAGACGAGGGGAGGGGAAUCUUUGAUUCCCUGUUUCUUCGGACCCUUCAAUAUUUCUUCGAUAAAUAUCGAAUCAAAUUUGCUGGCCGAACAGAUCCAUGCCACUGUUAACAACUCCGUCGACGACAUCUACAAUCGCCGUUUUGAUCUUUUCGAAAAGAAGAGGGGAGGGGAAUCUUUGAUUCCCCGUUUCUUCGGACCCUUCAAAAUAUUUUGAAAAUAUUGAAUCAAAUUUGCUGACCGAACAGAUCCACGCCACCAUCCCCAACGACAUCUACAGCAUUGCCGGUUUGAUACUUUCGAAAGAAGAGGGGAGGGGAAUCUUUGAUUCCCCGUUUCUUCGGACCCUUCAAUACUUAUUCGAAAAUGUCAAAUCAAAUCCGAUGGCCGAACAGAUCCACGCCACCGUCAUCAACUUCGUCGACGUCAUCCGCAGCAUCGUAAGAAGAGGGGAGGGGAAUCUUUGAUUCCUCGUUUCUUCGGACCCCAAAUCAAAAUUAAAACGGGGAUUUCUUCGGACCCCAAAUCAGAACCAAAUGGGGAUUUCUUCGGACCCCAAACCAAAUCAAAUUUGAAGAUCAAAUUCAAAUUCAAAUCAAACGGGGAUUUCUUCGGACCCCAAAUUCAAUUGCAAAAUCAAUAGGGGAUUUCUUCGGACCCCAAAUCAAAUUGCAAAUCAAGUCUAUACACAAGCUUAAAACUGCAAAUUAAGUUCAUAUGCGAACCUAAACUGCAAAUCAAGUUCAUAUGCGAACCCAAAUUGCAAAUUAAGUUCAUAUGCGAAUCCAAAUUGCAAAUCAAGUCCACAUACAAAGCCAAACCUAACCAAACCAAGUCCAAAUAAACAUCCAACCCAAAACCAAAAAAAACCAAACCAAACCAAGUCCACAUACAAAGCCAAACCUAACCAAACCAAGUCCAAAUAAGUAUCCAAACCAAAAUCCAAAACCCAAAUAAAACCCAAAUCAAACCAAGUCCACAUACAAAGCCGAACGGCCCAAAGCUAACCAAACCAAGUCCAAAUAAACAUCAAACCCAAAACCAAAAAAACCCAAAGCAAAUCAAGACCACAAAUAAAAGCCAAACACAUUCCCCAAAUAAAACCAAAACCCAAACUCAAAUCAAACGCAAACCCAACCCAAAUCAAACCCAAAUAAAAUCCAAACCCAAGUCCACACAUAAAACCAAAACCCAACCCAAAUCAAGUCCACAAAUAAAAUCCGAGCCCAUUCCACACAUAAAACCAAAAUCCAAACCCAAAUAAAAUCCAAACCCAAGUCCACACAUAAAACCAAAACCCAAACCCAAAUAAAAUCCAAACCCAAGUCCACACAUAAAACCAAAACCCAAACCCAAAUAAAAUCCAAACCCAUUCCACACAUAAAACCAAACCCAGUUCAUGGACCAAAUCCCAUGAGCCAAAACCAAACCUCAUGGACCAAAUCCCAUGAGCCAAAACCAAACCUCAUGGACCAAAUCCCAUGAACCAAAACCAAACCCAGUUCAUGGACCAAAUCCCAUGAACCAAAACCCAGUUCAUGGACCAAAUCCGAUGAACCAAAACCAAACCCAGUUUAUGGACCAAAUCCCAUAAACCAAAACCCAGUUCAUGGACCAAAUCCCAUGAGCCAAUACCAAGUUCAUGGACCAAAUCCCAUGACCCAAAACCAAGUUCAUGAACCAAAUCCCAUGAACCGAAACCAAGUUCAUGGACCAAAUCCCAUGAACCAACCAAACCUCAUGGANNNNNNNNNNNNNNNNNNNNNNNNNUCAUGGACCAAAUCCCAUGAGCCAAAACCAAGUUCAUGGACCAAAUCCCAUGAGCCAAAACCAAGUUCAUGGACCAAAUCUCAUGAAACCAAAACCAGACCUCGUGGACCAAAUCCCAUGAGCCAAAACCAAACCUCAUGGACCAAAUUCCAUGAGCCAAAACCAAAUCCCAUGAACCACAACCCCACAAACCAUACACCAAACCUUAUGGACCAAAUCCCAUAAACCAUACAUCCAACCUAAUACCCAAAUCUCAUAAACCAAUACCCAAAUCCCAUGAACCAAUGCCCAGAUCUCAUACCCAUAUCUCAUGAACCAAUUAGACUCUAAUACAUAGAGUUUAAUAUCGAUUAGGUCUUAACACAUAUACUCAGGACCUAAUCAACCUCAAAUCCAACUGAAUCCUAAUACAUAUACUUAGGAUUCAAUAAACCGAGAUACGAUCCAUCUCAUCCAAUCUAUAAAGGUCUCUUAAUCGAAGGUGCCCCAAUCUCAAGGGGGUAAUUAACAGUAGAUGCUUGCAUCUAUUGGAAGCCAUGGACCCGCAAAAUCUGAUACCCACAUACAUAUAAAUAUCAAUCUGAAUCAUGAAUACUACCCCACGGCCCCGAAAAAUCCAUCGACCGUGCGAGGUGCGUCAUUCGUGGUGGCAGACAAUUUACUUGUAGAGCUCUAGGAAGCAGAACUGUAGCGGCAAAUAGAGCACCUUUCAUUCAUUUACUUUUGGUGCAAUCGAAAUCUAUUAAUGCUCAGCAAGAAUUCGGUGGAAUACAAAGCUGAACAUAGGAGUGGAAAUGGUAGUGUAAUGUUGUUUUAAGCUAGAUAAAAUUGACAUAGGUACUAGUAUUAAGUACAGGUAACAAAUAAAUUUACGCUCUUGAGUAAUUCUCUUCUUUUAGAGUCAUUAAGGAUAUAGCUUUUGUCGGAUAAAGUUUAGUUAAUCCUUUUUAAGUUGAUCUAGUUAACUGGACGGUUCAAUUUCACUUGGAGGAAUUAUUGUGCAAAAGGGUCAUAAUCAAAUCAGAAAGGGUAAUAACUUUUGAUCUGCAGCUAAUUUUGGUUGUGAAUCAUGUUGGAUGGUUAUUCCGCGCAUGUUGGUUGCGUUUUCAAAACUAAUCACAACUAAAUACUCCUCUCGCAGUCUCGACCAUAUCUGAUACGAGCACUUGCAAAUCGAGAUUUCGGAGCUCUACCCGAUCCUCGACUUGAAAUGAACUUCGAUGGAAACGAGAUGUACUGCAUGAUCGAAGCAGCAGCUGCAUGCAUUCGGCAUUCAGUUGCGAUGCGACCUCGAAUGGGACAGGUAAUUCUUAAGAAAGUGUUUUGUAACUUUACUGAUAAGUUUUUAAAAAAAUCUUACUUGAUGUACUCUGAUGUCCAGGUGGUGAGAGCUCUAGAUAGUUUAACCGACUCGGAUUUAACCAACGGAGUCAAGCCGGGUCAGAGCGAAGUAUUCUUAGAACCGCAAUCGGAAGAGAUUCAAAUGUUCCGGAUGAGGGAAUUUAACAGCCCCGACUACAGCUGCGAGACGAGCCAAUCUAGCUGGGGUCGUCUGAGAGAGUUGUAAACAGAUUCCCUUCAUCCUCAAGAACUUAUGUUCAUUAUAUUUUUUUCUUGUAAUUAGUUUUCUUUUCUUUUUUUUUUUUUCUCUUUACAUCAUUGGAAUAAUUCCCAUUCUUAGUUGUACAAAUCUUUAAUUAAAUGUUUAUUCCAAAAUUUUGGAAACCUUCUUCAUAUGUCUCGAGUUUUUUGUACUUUGAAACACAUUAUUUUGGCUUGACAAUUGGUAGAUUAGAAGUUGUUUCUUGUUGCAGUUAUUAAGACUAUUCCGGGCAGUUUUUUUGUGAGUGCACUUUGCGUAUGAGUGUGGGUGUUAAGAUUAUUUCUGAACUGUUCCCAUUACUUUUGGUUUUAGAAAUUUUGAUAUUUGCUUUGAUGUAUAUCGAUUUCUUUUCUUUUCUUUUUUUGGAUUUUUCUAUAUGAUAUCCUUUAAUUACUUCAAUUAUAAGAUGGUAUCUUAUCUUUCAUAAAUCUUGUUGACAAUAGGUUCUGCAAUUUAUUCUGCAGAGCUUUUGUAAGUUUAUGCUUAAUUGAUCUGUUCUUUUUUUUUUUUUUUUUUUUUUUUUUUUUUUUUUUUUUUUUUUUUUUUUUUUGGUGGGGUUUACUGGUAGCUUCAUAAUUAAACAUGUUUGCAGGAUUUUAGCCAGCAUACUUUGGUUAUGAUUCUGACAAAAUUAUUCUGAUUGUUGAUCUUUAAUCAGUGAAAGCUCCAAAGAGGGCUUAACAGUGAGACCUGUGUAAACUGCUAAUAAACGGUUGCAUCCGGAUCUGAGAUUUUUUGAUACGCUCAAGAUUUGACCGUGAAUUAAAUAAGAGAAAAAAUUUAUGCUUGGAAUUUAGUGGGAUUCGAACACAAGAUCAAUGAGAUAUUAAAUUAUGUGAAACAAUCGUUGUUCGUCAAAAGAUGCGUAAGUUACUGGCGAACAGUAAUAUUUGAACUCGAGACUUUUUAAUGGGCUCAAGAUGUGGCCUUGAAUUAAAUUAUAUAAGGAGUUUAGUAGGAUUCGAACAUACGUCCUUCUAUUUUGAUAAGAUAUUAACUUAUAUAAAACAAUCUAUUUUGAUAAGAUAUUAACUUAUAUAAAACAAUCGCUAUUCAUAAAAUAUUUAAGUUAUUAUAGAACCAUAUUUUUAACAUACAUGCUCUCUCUCUCUCCUUUUUCUAUUUUCAAGGGAUUGGGAAUCUUAUAAUGACAAAGGGCUGUUUCCAAGUGAAAAUCAUAAAUGCAAAACGCCCACUUCGGUUGGAACUCUCAAGUUCUAUGAGAUCCAAAUAACUAAACUCAGAUAGUUACACUGGACAUCCACUUCACUAAUAAACAGAAUAUCUGAAACAAACUCUAGACUCUUUCUCUUUCGUCUCCAUUACUUGUACACCCAAAAAUAGAAUAUAAAUCUUACGCCCACAAAAUCAAAAAAUUAUACUCUUUUUUAUAAAUUUCCGUGUGCGCACACGCAACGGAUUCAAUUUUAUACUUUCAAUCCAAAAUAUUUAAAUAAAUUUAAAAAAAUAGUACUCAAAUUGUGAGAGAAAAUUACACCAUUGAUACCUAGACUAUAUAUCAAUGAAAUUUCACAGGGGUACCUAAACUUUGAUAUAUGUCGGUAUUUGGAGGCGCGAAUUUUGUCUCUUUGUUUGCUAAGCGAUGGAACAUCGGUUGCCGACUCAAACGGAAAUCGGAGUAAGCACGCUCGAAAAAUUCGGCGGCGAAACACCCCACGUUACCGAGUUUAACAAUGCGUUAUCGGAUUCGGAAAUGAGAUUCGACAACGUCACAAAAAUCCGACCGGUCGAAUCCCCCGGACGGCGGCGUCCGCAUAGAACGGCUCCUGUAUAAUGGUGAAUCACCUAGAACGAGCCAUGGGUGCGGUGGUGGUGGAUGCGAUGAGCCUUCUCCUUCUCCCUCGAAGCUUCGCCGUUUCCCCCUCCUCCUCCUCCUCCUCCUCCUCCUCCCCUUCCUCCUCGCACCUGCGAUUCCUCUCCACGAAUCGCCUCGCUCCUCAUCUUAGGGCACCAUUUCUCAGGUUCUUACGCGCGCUCUCUCUCUUUCUCCACAAAUUUGAGACAUUGAUCCGAAUUUUUGGUGAUUUAUGCUCUGUUUUGAUGUUUUUCGAUUGAUUUGGUUCCCAGGUGGAAGAUAUCUAAUGGGGGGAGAGCGAUUAGAAGCGUGGUGUGUACGAGUGCGUUGAAUUCCUCGGAGAAUUACGACGCCGAUAGCAGCAAAUCGCCCUCGCAGGUUUCUUACUGCAACCAUUGUAAUUGAUUCUAGAUUGCUUAUGGUUGUUUUAUAGUUAGAUUCCAAGGGUCGCGGUAUCUGCUUGAGCAAAUUUUAUAUGCAUGUGAAUGUUGAUUAAUUAGUUGUGCUUGUUUUUGUAUAGUGAUAAACUCGUUUUGUCGUGUUAAAGGAAGCAGCUUUUGAUAUAAAGCUUCCCAGAGGAAGUUUCAUGGUUGAGUUCACAUGCGAUUCUUGUGGUGAAAGAACUAAGCACUUGAUAAACCGAGUGGACUACGUAAAGGGAACUGUGUUUCUCCAGGUAUGCUCUGCUGCUGAGCAUCUUCAACUCGUAUAUCUAUCUAUUUGCUGGUUGAUCUAAUUUCCAGUAGCAUCCACAGUUUCUUUUGCACCUCUGUAGUUGAGAGAAAAUAAAGUAGUCUAAAUUACUUUAACAUUUAAGGUUGACCAGGGAGGUAAUAGUUAUAGAUUUAUAUUUCAACUUUGGAUUGAAAUCAUCUAAGAUGAUAUUCUCUGUCGUCGAGUCUAGUGCAUAUGCAAGCAUCUAAUUCAGUCUUUGCUGAUCAGUUUACGUUUUUGGCUUACCGUCCUCCGAUGGUGUCAUCUUCUUUUUAUUCGUAUUGGGAUUCCUUCAUUGCGAUUUGCUGCAAUAUUUGACUAAUUGGCAAUAUUUUUACGGUUAUUUCAGUAAGUCUAGGCUAUACUAGAGAUGGUUUCGGCCGAAAUCUUUUCUUUUUUUAAAGCUCACUUCUAGAGCGUGUGAAUUGACAACCUAUUUUGUUGGAUAUGAUCUAGUCUAGAGAAUCUAAAGUUACUAUAAAUUGAAAUUCGUGAGUUUUGGAUGCUAUUUACCCAUACAUCAAAUGGAGACCAAAAUGAAUGGUGUGAAUUGAAUAAGAUUCGUAAAUAUUGUAUGCGAUUCCUCAAUUGAAAAUCUGGCCAUAUUUCUCGAUUGUAAAAAGGGAAAAAAAUCCUACAUUUGCAACUUAUUUGGAUCAUAUUUUACCGUCAAACUAAUCACCAUCUCAUUGCAAUCAUUUAAAUUGUUAAUUUUAAAACUGCUCAAUGCAUAGGCAAGAAACAUCGAUAAACCAUAAAUUUUGAUUUCUAGUACAUUAAAAUACAGUAGAUCCGAUUUGAGUGUCAGAAAUUUGAGUCCAAAUCCUCUUGAGUGUAGUUUAGGCUUUCUCUAUCUAUCUUCGGUAAUUUAAAUUUGUUGUGCUGAUUUAUUUCGCUGCUGAACUAUUUCUGUGAAUGUUUGAAGCAAGCAUUUUCAUACAUAGGUUAGCCAUUUUGAGGUUACACGUAUCUGGCCUGUCUAUUGUGCUAAAAUCUCAUCUGAACAGUGUGCAGGCUGUCUUGUCUACCACAAGUUUGUCGAUAACCUUGGGCUAGUGGAUGAGUACGAUCUGCGUGAGGAACAUGAUGUGGAUGAUGUGGAUUCCGAUGGCUUAGAUUGAUUUGGCUUCGACAUGCUAUUUGUCUGUUUUAUGCACAAUAUUUUUCCUCAAGUAAAAUACAAAACUGCUUUUCUACAUGCUUUAUCGCUUACAUUGUUCAAAGGAUACAAGUUGGGAAGAUGGAAUGCAGUUUUAGAGCAUAUUAUUAGAAGGCUUUCAGUGAGCAACUCGGUUUGGAAGGGCCACAAGGGAGAACGGAAGUGAUGCUACCGACAAACAUCAAGACGGUAUAUCCUAAUGUUCUGCAAAUUUCAACUGUUUCAUUUGAAUUAUUACUCAAACAUCUGGAGAAUAUAAUUUAUUCUUCUUUUCAAAUUUGAGACCUGUGAGGUUUCAAAUCUACAUUUUUCUCUCUUUAACAACUUUGUAUUCUCAGCCGUCGGCUUUCUAAAUUUUUGACAGUAUCACUCAUCAGAUAACUUCAUCUAUAUAUUUGGUUGCUAUUUUUUAUGUAAAUACGAAUUGUGCACUGCAAAGUAGUUGAAUUGAUUUAAUAAGACUCUUCUGGCUCAUAACAUCCACAGAGUGAUUACUUUUACUGGAUUAAGAAAAGUUUAUGGUUAUGCAUAAUACCUCAAAUUUCCAAGUUGGGUUUCAAAGUUUCAAUUAAAAAUUGAACUCAGUACUCAUAUGCGCAAUGCGUAGUUAUUAGUCAAGACCGUGGAAACUAUCUAGAAGAAUCUAGAUAUCUUCAUUGUCUAGCUUUUAACUCUCCCAAUUAGGUGGAACCCAUAUAUGAUUAUCAUGGUUCUCUUUAUAGUAUUUGAAGCACUGAUUUGAGUUAUUUCCUUUGUGUUCCAGAAAAAAUUGAGUAUAUUUAAGGAGGUGUGUUGAGAGCGAAAGGAAGUCGCCAAAUAUCUCAUCUUCCAUAAAGUUCCAUACAAUUUAUUGACACUGUUAAUAGCAAGAAUUUCUCUAGUGCUUCUUAAUAUCAGUGGCUCCAACUAAAUUUUCGUCGUCAUCUCUAUCUUACUUUUUCUGCUUCUCUACCUCAUCUUACCCAUCUUCGACAUUUUGUUCCUCAACUUUAUCUUCAUUUUUACCGUUUCUCUUUGCCUUGAGGAAAUCGAGGAGCCCUUGAAGUGCAGCAUCAGUGUCAUCACUCCUCAUCAGCUCCUCCGCCACUGCCGCCGGAGCUAUCUCGACUUCCGUUAUCAACCCUUCGAUCUCUGGGAACAAUUUGUGGUCAUUAAUGGCAUGGUAGUUGGAAGCCAACACCCUGAAUGCAUCGAUGCCACAGUAGCUCAUAUGUAUGUGCAUAUCCAUUCGUCCGGGUCUCAGCAGCGCGGGGUCGAGGCGCUCUUUGUAGUUUGUAGUGAAUACGAUGAUCCGCUCCUCCCCGCUUGUCGACCACAGCCCAUCAACAAAGUUGAGCAGACCAGAGAGCGUUACCUGUUCGAAACGAACAUGGUUAGCAUUGUCUUUUUCUGGUUUGUUAGGUUAUUAUCACAACGAGAUUAGGUUCAGGUAUCAAAACUAACCUUGUCGUUGUUUGAUGUAUUCUGAUCCUCGUUCUUGCCCUUUUGUUGGAUAUUGAUCGUGCAAUCAAUGUCCUCUAUGACGAGUAUUGAUUUGUUGGACAUACCAAUCAGUAAUUGUCGCAGGUCGUUGUUGCAUCUUAUUUCUGUGAGCUCCAAGUCAUAGAUAUCGAACUUGAGAUAAUUUGCCAUUGCAGCAAUUAAGCUCGACUUCCCAGUCCCAGGUGGCCCGUAAAGCAGGUACCCUCGCUUCCAAGCCUUGCCGAUUCUCUUGUAAUAGUCCUUCCUCUUCACAAACUUUGAAAGAUCAUCCAUCACCGCCUUCUUAAGCUCUGUGUCCAUUGCAAGCGUGUCGAAUGUUGAAGGGUGGUGCAAAUCUAUGGGGUACCAUGAAUCGUCGUCAUUCAUGUAGAGCUUGAGUGCUCUGUCCUCCUGCUUAAGUUCUUUUGCCCUUGCUAAUAUAAAUGGCAAGUAGGAGUAAAGUGCCUUUUCCUUGUGCUUCUUGUGGAAGCCGAGCUCGAAUGAUCGGACUUCGAUCUGCCGGAAAUUGCCAUUGCUCGAAGUGCCGCUGGAGGUUUCCCGGCAAACCAACUGCCAUUUGAAUUCGGUACCUUCAUACACGUCGACCAUCUCCUCCCCCUCCUCCAUACUGAUUAGCAUGCUCUUUGUUUCGUUUACCCUGCUCACCCUUAGCCUUCGCAUGUUAGUGUUGAUGCGGGUUGCUAGGUACAAUUUCGCAGCCUCAUAGAUUUGAUUGUUGGCGUACCCUUCGGUCUGUUCAAUCACGAUUGUGUGCUGCGAGGACAUGCAAGAGCGCAGAUCGUGGAUGCCGGAGAAGAUGAAGUCCCGCACUUCGUGGGGAACGAGCUCAUUGACCACCCCACGUAGGAGCAUAGCAGAGGCCGCGACAGAUGCGGCUGUGGUGACGGCCUUCUUGUAUGAUUCUAUGGCCUUUUCAUAUGAAGCCAUGGAGAUCUUCAGGAGCUCGAUGAGGAGGUGAGCAGAUUUGUAAUGCUUUUUGCUCCCUUUUUAGUUUGUUUUUCGCCUCACUCUUUUUGUCCUUUCUCUCUCUUGGGAUUUGAGGAGAUGAGUGUGUGUUCUGAUCUGUAAUGAUCUUGGAUGAGAAUAAAUAAGCAGAGGUUAGAUAGUGGGGGAGGACUUUGUCGUGGAGGAGUCAACUGUCGCUUUUGAACAUGUGAUAUCUACUAUUUCCUUGCAGUCCAAGUUUCCUGAUGUCUAAGAGGCAUUGUGAAUUGUGAUCUCCAAGCUUCCAAGAUGAUGCUUUGGCUAAAUUACAGAAACCCCUUGCACGUUAGCCCAUUUACUCGUCGACACAAAAGUUUACAUCAAUUUUAGUCUUACACUUGGUUGCUGCUUUAAAUAAGUCAUAAAUUUAGGAUGAUUGCGGAAUUUGAAUACAAACCCGGAAUGCGUUGCCAUAUUUUCUUGGAUUUUCAUCUGAACAUCUAUUUGAAGUUGAAGUCCAAAUUAUCAAAAUUGGUUGGUUUCGUGGAUAAUUUUGUUCCAUUUAUAUCAUUUUGUACUAUUACAUGUUACCUUCCUAAUCCAUGAACUCAUUUUUUCUAAUAGUCUUUGCAUUUGAAUUCAACAAUCAUUUCAAUUUUUAAGUGUAGGACCAGAACUGAUGCAACAUUUUAUGCAGGGUGUGGUUGAUGAAACGCGCUUAAGUAUGAGGUCUUCUCAGUAAUUUGCCUAGAAGCUUUUUGACACUUUGUCCACGUUGAGAUUCGUCGUUGUUGAAAGCUGAGUACACGUGGAGAGAAUAGUUGUGCCCUAUUUGGGUUAUUUUUAUUAACCAGAUAGUGUACUAUUGGGAAUAUUUUAAGUGAAUUUUGCUGGGUAAUUGAACUGGCCUGUGUGGAAUAAACUUGAAUCCGCGUCACCUUUUUUUGUUUGUGUUCGAAAUGAGAUGGAAAGCAGAUUCUUUAUUGGCUCUCUCUGAUAUCAUAUUAGCUGGUGUCUUACCUCUGUUCAAUACCGGCGAAGUUGAUUGACUUGAACUGCUUUUUUUGUCGGUGAGUAACAUUUUAUUGAUGUUCAUUUACAUUUGUUGUUUGAAAUGAGAUUGGAUUUGAUUUGUUCUAGUCCCUUCUUCUUCUUCUUUAUGUCUUGCUCGCAGGAGUAUAUCACUUGUGGUUGUGCGCUUUGGCGCUGACAAAAAUGGUAAACUGCUGCUGCUGGGCUUAGCUAUCGUUGAAAGGAGGAAUUCUAUUAUAUAUCAGUUAUACUACAUCAUCUAUUAAUAAUUAAUUAUUUUUUUAAUAAUCUAAUGGAACAAGUAAAUUCAAAAAAAUAAUUUGCUUGAUUGGUAAUAUCACAUCAGUAAUAUAUAUAUAUAUAUAUAUAUAUACAGAUGAUGAUGAUGAUGUCGGCAUUGAUGGUAGUGAUGGAUGACACCGAUGAUUGAUACUGAUGUGACAAUGUCUUAAUGAUGCUAGUGAUGGUUGGCAGUGGGUUGUCAAUAAUAAAAAGCAGCAAUUCUAAAAAAAAAUUUAUUAUGUCAUAUUUAUAUCACAUUAUCAAUAACAAAUUAAUUAUAUAUUUUUUUAAAAAUAUAAUUAAAAUAAUUUUUUAUAAUUAUGAUGAAAUAAAUAAAUUUAAAAAAAUUAUUUGAUUGGCUAAGAACACUACUUCACUAAUAUAAUUGGUGAAAUUUAAAAUUUUUCGUAACUCCGGUGGUAGUACAAUCAACCCUCCGUGGCUAGUCUUCAAGUCGACCAUUUAUUACGUGCAACGAUGGAAUCUUGAAAGCAGUGAUGGAAGGAACAUCGCGUCAUUAAUAUUCUCUAUUUUUUAAGAAAAGAAAAAAAAAGAUUUUUUUUUUCUCUAAAAAAAAAAUAAAUUACAGAAAAUUUUCCUGUCAAUAUCUAAUUUUUCACUUUUCUCCCUUAUCAUUUAAAAACCCUGCAUUUUGCUUCUUGAAAAAUGAGAAAUAUUCAUAGGGGUACACCGUGACAAAAUGACCAAAAUGCCUCUCACCAUCUUCAUCUUCUCCCCCAACCUCGCUCAGCCGUCGUCCCUCCUCUUUCGUUCUUCGCUCUUCGCUCAACCGCAGCUCCGACUCCAUUUUUCUUCACACGCUCCCCCGCUCUUCUGCACUCGCGUUGUCCCUCCAUUUCGGUGACGAUAAGGAGGAGAUCGGAGUGGACAUGGACGGAGAGACAUACGAGGACGAGGGCGAGACGGCGGAGGAGCACGAGAGCAUUUGUGUGGACGCAAAUGAAGGAGUGGGCGAGCGCGAGGCGAGGUGGCGGUGUAGGGCGGCAAGGAAGGAGGCAGCAGGAAGGAGAGGGUAUUUUGAGUAUAAAAAAUAUAUAAUAAUAGAAUAUAAACGGAACCCCAACAGAAUACUGACGGCGGGGGACCAAAGUGAAUAUUUUUUAUUUUUCAAAGGGGCAAAGUGUAGGUUUUUAAAUAAUGAAAAAAAAGUGAAAAAGUGAAUAUUAACAAGAGAGUUUUCUAAAAUUUAGCCAAAAAAUAUAUAUACAAAAAUUCUCGUUCUCCAUAAUAAUCUCUAUUUUGGUAAAAGCACCCCAAACUAACAUAAUUCAUACAUUUCAUUAACAGUUUUCGCUCAAAUUUGUGUAUAUGGAAGGAACAACGUGUCAUUAAUAAUUUAAUGAUAUUCUGAAAUUUUCAAUAACUUUUCAUUAUUUAAAUCGAGGGGCGCAAUCCAUAACUUAGUUUCUAGAAAACAUGACCAGAUAUUCUUCUAAUUGAUUAAAUGAUUAAUUUCGUACAGAUCUCUGCAGACAUAAUGAAUGACAAAUAUAUCCCUUCAAAGUUUAACUUUCAUAUAUUGUUCCUAUAAAAAUCCUGAUGUUUUCUAAUACAUCCCUGCCGUUAGAAUCCGUCAGAAAAAUUUAAUUAACCAUAGGUUAAACACUUAAUCUUGGUUAAUUUUUAAUAUUUUUAUUCCUUUAUAUUAGACUAUUAUGUCUUUUAGAGAGAUAUAUUUGUGAUGACAAAGUAAUGGCAAAAUUGAAAAUAUAAAUAAUUUUUUAACGAUUUUCUAAUGAUAAUAAACCAGAGGAACAUAUUUGAAAAUAUCAGGACUUUUACAGGAACAACAUAUGAAAGCUGAACUUUAUAUAGAUAUAUUUGUUAUUUACUAUAUUUGUAGGAAUUUGUAUGAAAUUAACCCUUGAUUAAAACAUGUAACUAAAGGAACUAAUAGAGAUCAAAUUCGGAAAUCCUUAUUUGUUUGACUCUUGUUUGGAAAGUAAAGACAUUGUUAGCUCUCCAUAUAUGUAGUUAAGUCACUAAUGGGACCGCAAAACUUCUACAUAUAAUAUAAUAUAAUACAAUAUGCCAGUAAUCUCUAAUAGAUUCUAAUAAGAUGCGUUUAGUAACAUUCAAAAGGCAAUUUUAUCACAAAUCAACUAGUGUUUUUCUCUUUUCAAUUUUACCGUUGAUUAUUGAGACUUUUUUAUGUGUAAGUUUUUGUAGUAGAUUGUAUCUAUCGAAUUUGAUUUUAAUUUUUAAAAAAUUGAUCAUCAAAAACUGAUUGUGGUGCAUAAGGCAUACCUGUACUUC